AAGAGAGAGAGAAUCAUGGUUGCUCUUUUCCAAGUUAUUGGAUGCCGUGAUGUGCCUUUAGCGAUUGGUUCUUCAACAUACAUUAACACAUGUUCUUCUUCUUCUUCUUCCUUCUCGCAUACCUUCUUUCUCUCAUUUUCUCCACGUGUCUAGCUGUAGUCUUGUAAAGAAGAGAAAGAAUAUCAGAAUUUUUACCUACCGAGUGCAUAGAUAAUUUUGGCUGCUAAUGAAUUUUGGCCAUUCCUUGUAAAUGCAGAUAUGGAUGAUUGUUUUUUAAAUUGAACCUGAUUUAUUUCAUUUGUGUAAUUCUACCGUGUUGAAUUUCUCCUAGGUUCUAACUGGAUCCAUAUUAGAGCUGUCGCGGCUUGUAAAUACUUUACCUAAGAUUUGUAUUCCGAGAAAGGGAAAGAGAUUUUCUGUCGCACCUCCUGUAAUUUCUUCAUUUCAGCAUCUAGCAUGUACACAUCACUGCAGCUAAGCAAACUUAUGCUUGGUAUGAUAGGUUUAGAAAACAGGUCUGAAUGAUGAUCAUCAUGGCUUGCAAAGUGGCAUAAAGAACUAAUCCAUUAGCUAGCUAUAAUAUACCUCCGGCCUGCGUGAAACGUUGGACGAUAAGUGAUCCAGGUUUUGCCAUAAAAUCUCCCUAUUGAGAACCAAUUACAAACAGUCGGUCAUUGGCCACGACACGAGCCCUGGUAAAAUGUUUAGUUGGAUGGUCAGAUCAUGUUAAAAAGAGAGGUGGGGUGGGGAAGGGACUAAAUAGAAUCCUGAAGGAAUAGCUCUGAAAGAGCAGCUGCGAGACCUAUGCGGUCCUCCAUGAUGAAUUGGGAUCUCAGUGGGCCGCUCUUUCUCCAAUGCUUUGCAAUCUUUACUGCUAUACUUCAGUGCUCCAAUCCUGGUGUGUGGCGGUUUUCUUUGCUGCCUCCCAUCACAUGGAGUCUGCCUUCCCAUAACUGAGUUGCUGGAGCAUAGCUGAAAGCUUCAAUGUUGCAAGUUAGUUCAUUUGACAGUUUAUCAAAGUCGACAAGCAAGGUAGAAAAAAGAAGUGUUGCUGAUUCUCGUCUAUUUAUUAGAAAGCAAAAAGAGAAAGAUUGAAGGACGAAAGAAAGAAACUUGAAAGGCCAAUGGUUUUUAGUGGCUUUUGCAUUUUUGUCGUGUCGUUUUAAGUUCAAAGGUUGGUCGGUACUAGGUGGUUGCAAUGGGCUGUCUCUGCAAAACAGGGCCUGUCUUUUUGUUUCUUGGGUCAUUUUCUCUUUGGGCUGUUUUUUUUGCUUUUGGCAAGUUGGAUCUCACAUUAUUGAGACGAACGACCUGUAGACAUGAGCAGAUUUCCAGGCCAUCCAAACCACAGAAACUACUGACUGUUGGUGGACACGCGACUAAAUCGAUCACAGUUUGUCAGGUGUUCUCUUUUUAUCCUUUCGUUCCUUUGGACCUCUGAAGCAGCGGCCAGUACCUUUGACCACCAGCCUUUCUAUUCAACCUUCAAUCUCAUUCUCAAGUAAGUUAUCUCUCUCUCAUCUCGGGGUUUUAUUUUUUAAUUAUUUUUCCCCCACAGUUCUUGGAUCUGCCCCCAUAUCCCUCCAUGUUAGGGUUUUGUCAAGUUUCUCUUUUUUAUCUCACACUUCACCUUUUUGGCUUCUUUGUGCCAUUUUUUAAUUUGGGUUUUCUUUUAUAUGUUGAAAGUCCAAAAUCUGACUAUUGAUUUUAUGAGUACCCAAUUGUUUGAACUCUCUAAAGUUUUUUCCUUUUUGGAGAAUUACUGAAUAUUUGACUAAAAAAAAAAAACCUUUUUGGAGUUGUUGAAUAUAUUAUAUGAAUUCUCUGUUUAAUUUCUUCUGCUCCUUGGUUUUUCUGUUAUUUUAUUCAUAAGUAUUGUUUUGCUUGUUAAGGUUCAGCUGAUUUUACAGGAAUAUUAACUGAAAUGGCUGGAGGAUUGAUCCACCAGGUCUUAAGGAGGAAACUUCAAUCUCAGUCUGCUGUAAGAUUCUUUUCUCCUUUUCCUGUGUUGGUAUUAAAGUUACCUUUAGAAUGAGCUUAUACGGACCCGUAGUCUACAUGGUUCUUACUGGAUUUUCUUAUGUCACCUAGAAAUAUUUAGCUACAUGGAUUUUCCACUUUCCUGAAGAUAAAUUCUAACUUUUAAGGCCAGUUUUGUUACACUGUGAUGUAUUUUCAUCUCUGAAUAAUAAUGAAAACUUUCUGUUAGGCUGCCUUUUGUCUGAUUCUAUUGGACUCAAUUCAGUGCAGUUUAAGGUUUGCUGCUAAAUAAUAGAUAUAAUUUAGCCUAAGAUAUUUUUUUUCUGUUAGGGUGCCUUUUGUGUGAUUCUAUAGGAUUCAAUUCAGUGCAGUUUAAGGUUUGCUACUAAAUAAUAGAUAUAAUCUAGCCUACGAUAAUUUUCUCCCAGAUACCAAUACUUGUUAUGCAUUUUUGCUCAGAUUCCAGCUUUGUCAUGGUUUACGUCAAGGAAAGUUAAUGAGGAUGCCGGAUCUACUGGUAUGAGGACAGUUGCACUCCUUGGAGCUGGAAUUUCAGGUUUGCUAGGUUUUGCAACAAUGGCAUCUGCUGAUGAGGCUGAACAUGGGUUACAUGUUCCUAAUUAUCCUUGGCCUCACAAGGGUAUCCUCAGUUCCUAUGACCAUGCUUCGUGAGUUUUAUGCCUCUCCUUUUUUAUUAUGUGCACAAAAGUGAAUAAACUUUACUUAAAAAAAAGGUGAUCCAAAUAGAAAGUUAAUUAUUCCAGUAUAUAUAGCUGGCAGUAAGCUGUCAGCUUGUCACUUAAGUCCUUGGCCAUCAAGUCUUCGUAAUAGUAAUGGUUUCUUCCUUUUAGCUUGUAUUCUACCUAUUCUCUGCACAAGAGAAAACCUUCUAUAUGUCUCACCUUCUAAUUAGAAUAGGAUGCAUCUACCUAAACCAAGGGUGCAUUUCUUCCCUAUGAAUUUAUUUAAAUCUUUUGAUAAAAUUGUAAUAUUUGUUUAAGCAUUGGCAAAAUAUUUUAAUUUUUUGAUACUAUAAUUUUGAUGACAUGAGAUUAAUUUUGCAUGAUCAGGAUUCGUCGUGGUCACCAGGUUUACCAACAAGUGUGUGCAUCCUGCCACUCUAUGUCUCUAAUUUCAUACCGCGAUUUGGUUGGCGUUGCAUAUACAGAAGAGGAGACAAAGGCUAUGGCAGCUGAGAUUGAGGUGGUUGAUGGACCUAACGAUGAGGGUGAGAUGUUUACUCGUCCUGGUAAACUCAGUGACCGUUUUCCUCAGCCAUAUGCAAAUGAACAAGCAGCUAGGUUUGCUAAUGGAGGAGCUUAUCCUCCAGAUCUAAGUCUCAUUACCAAAGUAAUUCCUGCCUUGCUUUUUAGAUCGCAUUGAAGUUACUGAUUAUAUAUCUCUGAGAUAUCAUAUUUUUAUUCUCUCAGGCUCGUCAUAGUGGCCAGAAUUAUGUGUUUGCCCUUCUAACUGGUUACCGUGACCCUCCUGCUGGCGUUUUGGUAAAUUCUGCUUUACACUAUCUUCCAUAACAUGGCAUUUUGUACAAACAUCCAAUAUUGGAACUCUAUAUCAUUGUAGAGAUAUACUGUUGGCAGAUAUAUUUAGAUAUUUGGCAAUUGAGAGGAUACAAAGGAAGGGGACAAUGUGGGCCUGAAGUUGAGAUGAAGUUUUUUGUAUCUCUUCAAAUUUGGUUCGUUUUACCUGCUGCAAUUCAACGAGUUUCUAUCUUAUGAAAAUGGCACUUUUUAAAUUCUAUGGCUUUCUGUUACAGAAAUAAUUCAGAAUCCUUACCAUUGAUUUCCCCUGGUCCAUAGUUCUUUCUAUUGGAAACUUCUGUAUGUGUGUGCGUGGCACAUGCAUGUACACUUUGUUGUUCAUAGCAGGCUACACAUAUUUAGUCUCCACUGAUUAUUUUUGGCUGGGCCAUACUUAAAGUAAUCAUUCCCCAAUUUUGUAGAUUCGAGAGGGGUUACAUUAUAAUCCUUACUUUCCUGGGGGAGCAAUUGCCAUGCCUAAAAUGCUUAUUGAUGGUGCUUUGGAGUAUGAAGAUGGCACCCCUGCAACAGAAGCUCAGGUUGGUUUCUACUUUCUUUUUCAUUCAUAUUGCAUAUGGGUUUGAGAACCCUCCUAAGUAUUUGCAUAUUUGAUGGGGUACAUGGCUCACUCUUCCAUAUUGUUAUGGUGUAGAUGGGGAAAGAUGUGGUGACAUUUUUGUCAUGGGCAGCAGAACCAGAAAUGGAAGAAAGGAAAAUGGUGGGUAUUAUUAUCAUAAACAACUAUUUCAUCGAUAGACCUUGUUUUAACGAAUUUAUUUCUGAUAUUUCUGUCUUCUAAUGCAGAUGGGUUUUAAAUGGAUAUUUGUAUUGUCAUUGGCAUUACUUCAAGCUGGUUAUUACCGGCGCAUGAAGUGGUCUAUUUUCAAAUCUCGCGGCUGGUAGUUGAUGUUAUCAACUAGUCUCCCCAGUUUCUCGCAUAGUAAAUGGCAUUUUGGGGUUUUAAUUUAGCAAUAAUUGCAUAUUGGGAUGAUCUGGGUUCUGCCAUGACCAGUUGUUGGUUCUUUUUUCUCAAAUGGUAAAUGGAGGUGACCUGAAUUGAGUCUUUUUUUUUCCUAGUUGAGGAAGAAAUAAGCACGUCCAUACACGUACAUUAUUUUUUUGCUUUGAGACAUUGAAUAUUUUUAGAUCUCUUUUUCAAUGCUUCUCUUAUGGUUGGUAUACUUGAGAUCACUGUUCUCAGUGUGGACUAAAAUUGUCAUUAUAUAUCUGUGAAUGGAAUCCGUUUGAACAAAAAUCGCCCACUCAUGAUUUUCAUCUAUUUCGUGACAUGGUGUUCUUUAAAUUAUUUCUUCUAGUGGAAACGUGGAUCAACUUGUUGACGUCCAUGGUGGCUAAUUGGUUUGAGUUGUUAUUCACUGUUGAAGGAUAGGGAUACAUGGCUAGAGCCAUUAGACUUUCCAGAUUCCUUAGCAUGGUCUCAUAAAUUGAUUCACGAUUUGAUUGAAUCCAAAUAGCAUUGCCUGGAGCCGGGCGCCUGGAGCCUCGAAUUAUCUACUGAUAUCAUUACUUGCGGUAAGGGUUUUGAUGCAAAUCAAGCAUGCCAUGCGCUUCUUUUAAUUUUAUUCACCAACCACUUUUGAAUAAUAAAAAGGUUCCAAAUACAACAUCAGGAGUACAAAAGGAACUAACUAACCCCUAGAACAAACAAGAACAAACUAGAACAAACUUUAGAAGAACAAACUAGAACAAACUUUAGAAGAACAAACUAGUACAAACCUCAGAACAUCAACUUCAACUAAUCCUCAUCAACAGAAUCCACACUGGUAGAUAAAUGAGGAAAAUACCAAACGGGUGAACUUAUGAAGAUCUUUGGUUUCCCAUCCUUUCUAGUUACCUGCACAUGCUCGUUCGUACUUCCAGCAACAUACCGUGCCCUGUAGCCACCUAAAAUGCGUGCGUCUUCCAGGUAGCAGACCCGAUUCAAGGGCUGGCUAGUGCGAGCCUUAGAUGGGGUUGGGAAGCUUAAGCCACAACACUUCAUGUCACCCAAGAACAAUAUUUCACCAUUUAGUUUCACCUUCUCCCAUUCCAUCCUCUCAAAGUCUAGCCUGUGAACCUUAAUAGGACCUGCUUUUGCAUAAAAGCGAGCGAGAUAGAGCUCUUCAUGAGAAGCAACUAAAUGCAGAUUAUCUAUGGGGGAAGAAACACUUCUCACUUGCAGAUAUGUCACCAAAUGAUCAGAGUUCAAAUUUAAAGUCCCGAUUUGGCCAUUUCUACUCAAGAUAUAUAUCUUACCCUUGAAGACAGUAACAUCUACAAUCACCAGAGGAUCCUCCUUAUUAUAUUCAAUGAUAGUCCAGUUACCAUGUCUAGACGUACAAAACUGUACGAAAGGGUGCAACCUGGAAAAAGCUACAAUUACAAAUUCUGGAUCAGACUUGGGCAAAGAAGCCACAAUGACAUGACAAUACCUUCUAGGUGGACUUGGAAAUUGAGUUCAUGCCUUGUAAAAGGAUUCACUAGCCAUAUAUUUGCCUUCUUUUGUCAUUUCUGAGUCCCUUAAGACCAAGUACCCACAAGUGAAUCCCACACAUUUAUUCCCUGCAAGGUGAGGCAGUCCUGCCUUGUAAAGUCCGUUGUCAAAUAUGUUGUAGAAGUAGCCAUACUUUCUAGCUUUUGUUGGCAUGAGAAAAACAAGUGGGGCUUUGAGAUGCCAUAAAUUCUUGCUUCAAUGCAAUAGCAACGAAUCUCCAUGACUUACAAACACAAGCAAAUAACAAGAAUUCUAAUCACCCCCAACUGCUUCAGGAUCACCACAAGUAGAUCAGCUGGGAGUUCUGACCACCGUGAGCAAUUACCAACCUCAAUCUCCAUUCUUUUUCUGCUACCCCCACUGAAAUCAAGUGUCAUCAACCCUUUGCAAAUCCAUGCCUCUUUUCCACAAAAAAGAGAGAUAAAUCACAAUUCAUCCAUUAUUAUGUUCAAAAGCAAAUAAGAGCCUACUUGUAUCAACAAUAACAGUAGAAUGGUAUCUUUUUUUAUUAUACAAACUAAAGGUAAACAUCAAAUGUCUAAACAUUUGGUCUUAAGUAAAAAACAAAAACAAGCAAAUGAAACAUUUUUUUUAAGGUAAAAAAAUCCUUAAAUAUUUCUAGGCAAAGAAGAUUCAACAUAGAAUUUGGAAUAAGUAAACAAACUCCCUUUUUUAUAGAAACUAUAAAUUUGAGCAAAAAUCUGUUUGCUAUCCAAGAAAAUCCACAAUAAACAAAGGUUAAAUAUCAAAAAAAAAAAAAUCUCAGCAAAUAAACAGAUGUUUAAUGUGAUAAAACAUCAAAACAAAGAGGAAAUCACAUGUUACUGCAAAAAAUAUUUUUUAAAAAAAAUACCUGUUUAGAAGUUUUCUUUUGCUUUAGAAUGAGAGAGAUGGGUAAUAACCAAAGUGCAUAUAUAAGGAUUUCAUUAGGUUAGCAUUAGGAAAUACUUAAGAAUUUUCCAAACUAAGAAAUUGGUUGAUAAGGAAUUUACAUUUUUGGCUGGAAUUGCUCAUUAAGAUCAAUAGGCGCUUAUUACUAAAAUUGUAUUUUAUUGGUUAAAUUUCAUCAAUUCUUGAAAUAAAAAAUUCUUUGAUUUAUAAAUUUCCUCGAUUAUUGGAAAUAAAAAUUCUACGGCUUAUUAACAAAUCAUAUAACUUAAAAAUUGUAUGAUUUAUUAAUAGAUCAUAUAACUAUUAGUAUACUUAUUGCUAACAUUGUAUUUAAUUACUUAAAUUUCCUUAAUUAUUGAAAUUAAAAAUUCUACGAUUUAUUAAUAGAUCAUAUAAAUGUACGAAAUUAAAAAUUUUACGAUUUAUUAACGAAUUAUAUAGCUGUUUAUAUAAUUGUGGACAUUAAUAUUGUUUUUCAUCAGUACUAGUUAAAAGGUUCUUAAUAUUUAAUAUUGACUGAAUCUUAAAUCUUAGGUUAGCAUUAGGAAAUACUUAAGAAUUUCCCAAAUAUAAGAAACGGCAGAUAAGGAAUUUACAAUUUUGGCGGGAAUUGUUCAUUAAGAUCAAUACACACUUAUUACUAAAAUUGUAUUUUAUUACUCAAAUUUCAUCCAUUAUUGAAAUUAAAAAUUUAUGAUUUAUUAACAAAUCAUAUAACUUAAAAAUUUUACGAUUUAUUAACAGAUCAUAUAAUUAUCGACAUUAACAAUGUUUUUUCAUUAGUAUUAGUUAAAAAGUUCUUAAUAUUUAAUAUUGACUGAAUCUUAAAUCUUAAGGUUAAUUGUGUAAAAAUAGUUGUUGCUAUUGUUAUGUAUGAUUAUUAUUUCUUUUAUUACUAAAUUUUUUUGCCUUAUUCUUACUAAAAAUGUAGAAAGGAGAAGAAACAAAUUGCAUAAUAAAUUUUAUUUUUUAUAUAAUUUAAUUAUCAAUUAUCAUUGAUUUAUUUUUUAACCUUUAAUUCCUUGAAAAUUAGGCCUAAUCCAACAAUAAUGAAAAAUAUUUUUUUUUGGUAAGAAAAAAUCCUGGAAUAGAUAGGUUGUUCAGUCUCUCAAGUAAGGAUAAGAUGUGUCGUAUCUGACAGUCUAAAACAGGUGUCAUUUGAGAUGACUUCAAUAAAUGAUCAUCGAUGAAAUUCGAACUUAAAAUCUUCUCAUCGAAAAAAAAUAACCUUAAUCAAUUGAAUCAACAACUUAUUAAUAACAUGAAAUGACUUAUUAUUCUUAUCUCAUUUAUGCCCGGCCUCAUUUGAGCUCAAAACUUUAUAAGGUUAUUAUCGUUGACCGAGGCCCAAUUUCCAACUACGAAUACAAAUUCAACUAAUAAAAAAUAAAUUUCACAAAGAUAAUUUCAAAAAUAUUGAUGAUUGAAGGAAGAUAAUAUAAAUUUACUUAUUAUGUAUUAAACACUGUAUUUUUUUUUAUUGAUGUGUGAAAAAAAAAUUAUCAUUUGCCAAUAUUCAAAUUUCUGUGAUAUACAUCUACCUAUGUAUCUCAAAUUCUUGCUCCAUGUAUCACAAGCUUAAUUAAAUUUACAUUUUCAAUUAAAAAAAAUUGAUUUAUCAUGCAAAUUUUUUUAAUCAGUCUAAUAGCUAGCUACUAACUUUUUUUUUAAUCUAAUGAUCAAAUUUUUAAUAAUUUUCCAUAAAGGUCUAAAAAAUUAGCCAUAAUAAUUGGAAAAAAUGAGGAUGACAAGGCUACGAUGAGAUAGAACAUAGAACAUAAUUAUGUUAUGGGGAUGUUGAAAAAUAUUCUUGAACUUGGUCCACUGGAUAAUGGUUGGAUUUUUUUAACAUGCCAAGUAAAUCCGAGGAGUAAUCAUAAAAUUUGAACCCAUCAAUUCCAUAACAAAUUAACACAAAGAAGUGAGAUCUUUCAUUGAUUAAGUAUUGGAUGUUGCUUGAUAAGUUUAGACUUAGUAGCCUUUAUGGGUAAGACGAUGAUGGUGACUCACCCAGAUUAGAUAUGGGUUUAGGUUAUUAUUUGGGUUUCUUUAUGAAGAUUAAAUGAUGGAUUAAUGUUCUGAUUGUAUCAACGAAAAAAACCUUUCAAAAAAUAAUUUUCAUAUUUUCAUGCAUUUAUUUGAUAAAAAAUUGAUUGUUCAAUGAAAAAUAACUUAUUAAUCAACAAAAAAUAAAAUCAUUUUUUUAAAAAAUUAUCUUACGAAUUUAAAAAAAAUAUAUUUUUUUGAAAAAAAUUUAUCUAUAAUUAAAAUUAUUUAUCAAUACUUUUGAACAAAAUUUUACUUAUAAAUAAUAUUAUACUAAUAAAUAAAUAAUAUUAUAUUAAUAAACAAUAUAAUAUUAAUAUAAUAUUUUAAUAAAUAAUAUAAUAAAUAAUAAAUAGAUUUAUUUAAGUAUUUUAUUAAUAUAAUAUUUUAAUACUAAAUAUUAUUGUUAAAAUAUAAUUAUUUUUUAAUAUUAAUAAUUUUGAUAAUAAAUAUUUUCAAUAUACUUUACUAAUAAAUAAUUUAAUAUUUUAAUAGUUAUAUUAAUAUUAUUUUAAAAAAUACAGAUUUUUUCAAAAAAAAUGAAAAAUAUUUUUUAUUAACUCCUCUAAAUAAUAAAAAAUUUCUUUUAAUUCAAAAAUUUAAACAUUUUCAAAAAUUAUUUUUCACGAAGCAACUUUAUAUCUAGCAUAAAGGAUUGUUAUCGUGAGAUUUAAACAUCAAACUUAUUAGUUAUAAUCUCUUCAAGGUGACUGCAUGAUCGAUUUUUAAAUCACUACAUCGAAUAAGUACCCACGAGUGUUCGAAUCCACUUUCCCAAAUCGAAGAAAAAAAUGCUUAAAAGUCACAUACCUGCCUUGAUCUGGAUUUAUACAUAUUGCUACAUAGUUUUUCUACAUAGCAUUAACUCAAUCCAUGUUCAUCUUGAGCAGAUCUAUAACAAACUUGGCUUAGCUGAUACAAACUAGGCCUCAUAACAUCUUCAACAUUCUUUCACACAAAUUAUUGUGCAUGAACCUUAUUUGCUUUGGUGAAGUUGAUUGAUGUUUCGAUCAAAAAUCUGGGCUAGCUUCAAACCUUGAUCUAUAUGACAGCUUGACAUAGCAAUGAAAUUAUUCAGUACUAUUUAUAACCCCCUGAGUUCAACACUUACCAUGCAUAUAUACACUUCCAGGAGUAAGCUGCACAGUUUAGUUCUUUCUUUUUGAUCUUUUGAUGCCGACGGCCCUCAAUUAGAAAAAAAACCUUGACAAAUUAAGGAAAAUUUGUUAGAAAAUAGAGAAUUUUGCAUGACACUACUGUAUGCAAGGGUAAAUAAUAAGUUCAAUUAUUCUUAUCCAAACACGUCAUAGAUUUUUGCAUGUAUGUAUUCAUGCGAUCUUAUUUGUGUGUGCAUUCUCAUAGGUAUAUGAAGGGUAUUUUUCGGCCUAAAAGUAAAAUACUUGUUUUUUCCUCACUAGAAACUGUUAACAAACAGUCAGAGGCAUUUUCAACUUUUGAGUCGAUCUAAUAUGUCAUGCUGACCUAACAUAUACAAUGCCAUGUUAACUCGAUCACCUCACCAAUUUACACCGCAGACCUCUCACCUUUCAUUCAUAAAUAGGACCAUCCAAAUAUUAUCUAAUCAUCUUGCUUUCUUCUACUUUCUUUCUAUUUUACUUUCCUUCUGACCUUCUAUAGCCGAUCUCUGACUUGAGCAUCGGAAUACAAGUGUAGAGAACAUUAUCUAUCUUUACCUUUAAUCGCUCUCUUUCACUUUCUUAUGAUUUCAAAGUUUUACAUCUCAACUCGGACCUCGACACAAACAAUAUAUAUAUUGAAGUGAUCUUUCCUAAUUAUAGAUUUUCCUACGUUAAUCAUAUAUAUAAUAUGCCAAUUGUCAGUGGUCCAACAUCAUGCUUAUAUGUAUCCCACACCUUAUAAGCUAAUUAUACUUUAACUCAAACAAUAUGCAUCAUCAUUUCUUAGCUUCUCUAAAGAAACCCAAAAAAGAGAAUGUCCUAAAUGAACUUGCUUACCUAAAUCUCCUUAAAUACAAAAACAAUCAUAGAACUAAACACUAAAGUAUGAACUUCAACAACAACAGCCAAAAACACAUUAAAAAGCCCCAAAAAACACCCUAAAGGUCUUGUUCUCUCAAUCAUCAUCAUUUAUAAGUAUAUAAGACUAAUCAUCCUUGUUUCCAUUGAAGUGCUUCAAUUCAUAUAUAUAUAUAUAUAUACACAUACAAUUCUCUAGGAUGGAACCCACAUUUAUUAUGUUAUUUAGCCAUCAACUUAAAGUAUGUUCUGAAUCUAUAUGUAUGUAUGUAUAUGUAUGUGUAUAUAUAUAAAUAUAUAAGUAUCAUAUUACACUUAUUGCACCAUCACAUAUAUAUAUUCCACAUUUAUCAUGUUAUUUACCCAUGAACUUAAAGUAUGUUCUGAAUAUAUAAUGUACGUAUGUAUGUUUGCAAUAUGUAUGUGUGUGUAUAAAAAUAUAUAAGUAUCAUAUUACUUGCACCAUGUAUGUAUAUAUAUAUAUAUAUAUAUAUAUAUAUAUAUGGCUUACUAUGAAAACUUUUACCAUACGUACUACUUAAAUUAGUGUACUUUUACCCAGUGUGAGUGUGUUUUCAACUUUCUUGCAUAAUUAGCUGUCUGUGACAGACACAUAGUUGGUUAGCUUUGAAUAUAUAUUUAGAUCCACAGUGAUUUGUGAAAUUCCUGUUCACGAGUUUGUUUAAUUUGGCUUAUGGAAAUACAUAGUUUUCUUAAAACUUAGUACUUAUUAUCUAGGAUCCUAGCUAGGUCUAGGGUGUGGAUGGCUGAACAGGAAUUCAAACUCAAUAUGAUUUCCCCUAGAGAAAGGGAGAGGAUUUCUAGUGAGCUUAAGGCAUUCAGUCAACAACCCAAUUUCAACCAGCCACUCCUCAAUAUCACAACCAAAAUUGAGGAAUUCAACUAAUAGACCCAACUGUAGUAUUUCCCCAUCUACCAAACUGGUAAAAACGAACACCACCACACAAAACAACACAGCUCAUCAUCAGUACUCUAAUUUUCUAUCAGAAUCUUGAAUAUUGGGUAGUUUUCAUUCUUUCUAGCAGCAUCCUCCACCUCAUCUGUUCCAAUAAAAGUAGCAGAUAAAAAGAAAAGUUAUUUCUACCAGCUUCCAGCAAAUCCUGCUUUGCCAACCUAACAAUUCCUUACGAACAUUUUAAAAUACCAAAUAUAUAUAUAUAUAUAUAUAAAAGAUAAAUCUUAAACUUUUUAAAUACUAUAUAAAUAUAAUAUAAUAUAAAUAUAAUAUAAUGAUAUAAUACGAAAAAGAUAUGAAAGUAUUUAUUUUGGGUUACGAGUGUAGAAAUGAAGAUGAUAUGAUAUUUUUUAUAUUUUAUACAUAUUUAAUAUGAAAACAAUAUAUACCAAUAGUGAUCUAAUAUGAGAAAAAAAAUCCUAGGACUCCUAAGAAUAUGGGUUUUGUUUGUUAAUACCUUAAACGCUCUUAAAAAUCCUGUACCCCAUUUUCUUUCUUUUCAAGUUCCGUGCGCAGUUCUAAUUGCAUUUGAUACCAUAAAUUUUUUAGUCUUCAUUUUUAUAAUUAUUAUUACUACUUAACAAGUAGUUUUAGUACGUUCUUUUAGUUAAAAGAACAGUCCACAUUACCUGAUUUUUCUUCUAUUUUGCUUCAUUUUUUUCUUUAUUUACUACUUUGAUCCUCAUUUUCCUGAACGGCCGAGACUGAGAGCAGCCUCGACGUCGAGCCGCCAUGCAAAGCCACCGUCACCAUCCAGUUUCCAGACAUCACACGGCAACAUUCUCGAGCACUUCUCCUUCUGCCACGUGUACUGCAACCUUACCUUGCAUGAAAAUGCAGUGCAAAACCUAGGUAACUCUUGUUUAAUCACGAGCCAAACCAUUAUCUCCGGUGGUGGUGACAGCAGCCCGUCGUCAUUCCCUUCCCCCGCCGUCAUCAUCCUCUUGUAAGCCCCGUUAACCCACCAAACCGUAUUCAAACCAUCUGAUAUAAACCCUGGACACGUGUCAGCCUCCAGAUUCUUCAUUCUUUCCACGUCCGUACUCCCUAGCUCUCUUCCUUCCAUGCAACUGUCUGCCACGCACUCCACCGUCACCCAAGACUCCACCACCGUUACGCUUCUCUUUUGACUCAUCACCACUGUCCAAUCAGGUUCUUCGAAACCUCCCAUACGAUCAACCCGCCAACGGUUGUUGAAGUUCAAGUUAAAUAAAGAAGGUGGAUCUUGAUUUUCCUCCAUAACUGCACUGUUUUGAUUGUUAAUAGAUCCGUUUGCUUCAGUUUUGUCUGGUAAUAACUGCAAGGUAACAAUCUUUUCAGGAUUCUUUGAAGCCUCUCCAUGAUCUGAUGACGAUCUUUUCUUUCUCUUGAUAUUAUUCUUUCGAACCCUAACGUACUUUCUUUUAGCUCUUGGCUUACAAAGCAACCAGUUUUUAUCAUCAAACCGAACCCCACAGGAACCUGACUCUCCGGCGACCGGUUUUGGAGCUAUCGGCCGGAAUCUUAGCAUUAUCUCAUUGAUCACAGUCUUAUCUCGUGAACCCCCUUUGUAGCUAACCAUGCUCCUUUUCUCACCGCCGUUCGUCUCUCCGCCGCCGUUUUAACCACCCCCAGAAAAAUCAGAGCUUCUCGUCCCUUCUCUCUUCAAAUCUCAAUCUUCAGUCUUAAAUUUCGGGAUUUUUUUGGAAGGUUUUGUUUGUGAGAAGCGAUAAUCAUAGCGGCAAAUUAACAGCGAAGUAACACCUGGCUAUGGAACAAAGAACAGUGGAGCGAUGUGAUUGGUUAAAAUUUUAGUGGGGCCCACAGAAAAAGUGAAGGGGACGAAUCUAGUAUGAUUGAGCGUUGGAGAUGGGCCCCCGAUGAGGACCAAUGAGAAGAAGGCUUGUGUUCAGCAUUGCCGAAAGAGAAGGGACACGUUUGUGAACAGAGUUUUAUACUGUCGAAUGAAGUGGAAAAAGCACAAAAGGCUUUUAAUGGGGGAGGUUCGAGAAAGCGCACACUUGGUCCUUGCUCAUUAGCUUUCGUCCUCGGUUCUCUAGUUUCACAUCUCACAUUCUUCCACUCGCCACUUCCCCCGUGAACACUACCUUACAGCUAACUCCCUUAGCAAAAAUUUUAAUAUAUUUAACAAAUAUUGUUGUACAUUGAUUUAAGUAUGAAAUACGUAUAAAAAUUUUAAUUUCAAUGUGAUAAUAUAACUCCUUAAAUACCUUAAAAAAUCAAGAAUAACAAUUCAAUAAACUCAAAUUUUAAAUUGAUUUUAAAAACACAAUUAAUUUAUAAAAAUAUAAAAUUAUUACCUAAACUAGGGACUGAUGGAACGCACAAAAUUAGCGCGUGGAAGAGCUGAUUUAACGACAGCACGAGGGACGCGUGGCGGAUUCGACAAAGCGGUGGAUCUAUGAGUACAGAUUUCUGACGUCAUCCAAUUUUCAAAGAAGUAGUUCCAUGUGUUUCUUUUCUAUGGAAUUUGAUUUCUGCUGAUGCCACGUGCAUUGUCUACAAUUUUUUACUACAAAAAUUACUAAAUGGCUUUCCUAGAGGAAUUGUGUGAAAAAAGCCAUUUGGCACGAGUGUCUAGGAUCUAAUACCAAUUAAACUUAACGUAACCUACUUUAUAAUGGUACAAUUAAUAUUUUUGUUUAUUAAAAUUAUAUUUACUACACUUAUGUUUUGUUUUUAGUUUAAAAACAUUAAUUAUUUAAAUGAAGCAUUAAUAGCUAAUAACUAUUAUGACGGGCUAAAAUAAAAGAAUUUAUAAGUUGUUGGACAUAACUAUUAUUUGUAAUUUUAAAAAUAUUUUAUUCAAGACUACUUAUGUAUACCAUCAUGUUUCCAGCAUCACCAAUCUUCCUUCGAUAGAUUUGUUAAUUAUACAAAAAAAUCAUAUAUAAAUUAUUAUUUAAAAAAUUAUAUAUUAAAUAUUAAUAUAUAAUACAUAAUUAUUGGUUAAUUUUACCUUUCUUUUCAAUAUUCGUAGUUGUCUUUUUUAUUUUUGUAUAAAAUUAUUUUAGUAAUUAUUUCAAAUUUUAUUAAAAAAUAAUUUUUUUAAAUUUAUUUUUUUAUUUAUAAAACUCGAAACUAAAAUUUUACUUUAAAAAAUCAAAAUUUUAUAUCACUACAUUAAUUUAAUUAUCUUCCAUUUUUCAUAUUUUUCACGCUUUUGAAAUAUUCAUUCCACAUUAAAAUUAGUAGUGUAAAACCUACCACGUUGUCACAAUUUGUUAGAUUUUUUCCUUUCACAAUACAUUAUAAAUCUCUUCCUAAUCUAAUAUUUAUAACUAUACACAAACAAAACAAAACAAACCUACAUAUUUAUUUUUUGUAUAUGCAUCCAUUGUUUUGUACUAGCAUUCUUGUUUUCUUUACAAAGUAUUACGAGAACAAAAAAGUUUAAAUUACCUGCAAAAACAUGGAAAUUUAUGAUUUCAUUGGUUUUUCCAUUUUAGAGUCCCAAACUGAGUGCAGCCUUGACAUCGAGCCUCCACGCAAAUCCACCGCAGCUCAUCUUCCACACAUCGCAAGGAACCAUUGUUGAGUGUUUCCUGCUCUUAUCCUUUCCAUCGCCGUACUGUAACCCUACGCGGCAUGAAAAUGCACCAUGUGGGAACAUGAACCCGUCUUUUACCACCAAGCCUAUGGCGGUUUCAACCCCUUCAGCGUCCACGCCCACCAUGUUUUUAAAGGCUUGGUUCACCCAGAAAACCCGGUUCAACGUAUCUGAUACAAACCCAGGACACGUGUCCUUCUCAAGAUUCUUCAUUUUCUCAAAGUCUGUACAGUUCCUCAUCUCUCCUUCGUCCAUGCAAGUGUCCGUCACGCUCUCCACCUUCACCCACGAUUCCAUCACCGUCGUCCUCUUCCUGGGGGAUGUUACCAACGCCGUCUGAUCCGACAACCCCAUCAUCGCCACGUCAUCUGCAACCACUUUCUUCAACUUCAAGCACAUCGAUGGUGAUUCCUGUUCCUGAAAAUAAUAAUUAUUACCUACCGUUGGAUUGAGAUCAUCAACAACACCUAAUGACCCUUCACCAACCAUCGAUUUCUCUAGAUCAGCUUCCUCUGGUAUCAACUGUAGAGUAACAAAACUCUUCUCCCCAUCUUUAUUUUCUUUAGAUUCAUCCAAGAUUCGUCGCUUCAUAUUAUUUUUCUUACAAACCCUAACGUAUUUUCUUUUUGCUCUCUUGCUAGCAACAACCAAGUUUUUGUUACUAAACAUAGAGUCCCUGGAAACUGAGUCUCCGGUCACCGGUUUGGGAGCAAUCGGCCGGAAUCUGAGCAUUGUCCUGUUGGUUAUCGUCUUAUUUUGUACCCCACCAGCGCAUUUUAGCAUGCUCCAAGGAUCUUCCCCUUCCAUUUAUCCUUCAAAAUAACGAAAACCCCAACAAUAGCUCUCUCUUCGUUUUUGUCUUAAAUUUUCUUUGGGUUUUAUUUUCUCGGUGUUCUAGUUUUGUAUAUUUUUUUCUACUAAGGGGCUUUACCGGAGCUGAAGCGAUAAUCAUAGCGGCAGCAAUCCUGGCCAGUGCACAAGACGCCACGUGUCCUAGGCGACACUUGAAAUAAUGACGAGCCUUGAUUGGUUGAAACCCAAUGGGCCCUAGAGGAAAAAAAAGUUGCUAGUUUUGGCGUGUUGCCAAUGAAAAAUGAGGAUGUGUCAGAAAUUCCGUAAAAGGCGGACACACGUGGCCGUACCUCGGGAGAUGGCAUAAAUUUUGUUCUUCAUGCCAUUUGGUGGGUAGGUUGCAGAAUAUCUUAACACGUAGCUUCUUUUCAUUUGUUACAAAAGAGUAAGUUCAGUUGACAGUCACAUCUACUUUUCCUGCUAUGAAGCGCGUGAACGCAAACGUUUAAUAUUUUUGGAAUGCCCCAGAGCUGACUCAGUUUCAACUGUAUUGUUUUUUUUUUUUGCCAAACAACUGUGUCAGUAAUUUAUUAUUUAAGUUGAUUAAUUUAGUUUGAAUAAUAAAAAAUAAAUUUUAUUAAUAACCAUUGCUUAUUUUAUUGAGACCAAAAUAGUUUAAGAAAAUGGUUUUUUAUUUAAUCCACCAUUCUCAUCAAUUUAAAAAAAUAAAAUCUCAUUCACAAAAUAAUAAGAUUAUUCUUAAAUUUGUUUUUACUAAGAUCAUCUUAAUGAAUAUCAACAUAGAUCAAUUAAUAUUUCUCUUAUCAUAUAUUUUAAUCUCACUUUAUUUGUCUUUGUUUGAUUUUUUGAUUAAAUGAACUUAAUAUUAAUUAUUAUAUUUAAAAAUUUUAUAUUAAACUAAUAUUUUAAAAUUUUAAAAAUCUUAUAUGAUUUUAUUAAAAAUUAAAGUUAAAUUCAUUUGACUUAAAGAAUAAUACAAGGACAAGUAUAAUGAGACCAAAAUAGUAUUACAUAUAAUGUUAUCUAAAAAUUAUAAUAUUGGUUUACAUGAGAAAUUAAAAAUAAAAGCAAAGCAACUAAUUAACCAGGCCGUGAAUAAUGUAAAUAGAGUGUGAGCACGGGCCGGGCUGAGAGUGGGAUUAGGUGAUAACUGCUGGGAACUGAUGAUAUUACAAUAGAGGACGCGUGGAUGAUGUGAUGAAAGGCAGAUCUGGGGAUUGAUUUGAAAUAUGACGUGGAGGAAUACAAUUGGCUGAAAAUAAGUUGUUAAGGGUCCCAGUGUCCUCCAAUGAGAGUUACGACUUUGGAAAUGUCUGUGUCUGUCUUUUUCUUUUUUAGCGGGUCAAACAUGGCAUCAUCAAGGAUAUCCUACCCUUUGGUAAAAAAUAAAUAAAUAAAUAAACAUCUAUUUAGCGUAAAAAUGUUGGAACAAAUUUAAAAAAUUUAAUCAACAAAUAAUUAAUAUAAUUGAUUAAAAUUAUUUUAUUCGAUGAAAAAUUUUAGGUUUAAAUUUUAUUAUUGAUCAUUUAUUGAGAUAAUCUUAAAUAUAUGAUAUAUAACAUUUAUUUUAAAUUAUUAAAUACAACACAUUUUAUUAUAAUUUAAAAUUUUAAACAAUUUAUUUAUUUUAAAUAUUUUUUAAAAAAUAAUAAAAGAAAAUUAUAUACCUAUAAAAUAAAUUGGACAAAUAGUUUUAAUUGCUGGCUAAAUUGAAAAAUGUGUCAAAUUUAGGGCGUUGAAAUUAAAUUAGAGAAGAAUGUAAUAAAAGAGAGAGUAUAAGGUUUAGAGAGAGAAAGUUUUACAAGUCUAAUUUGAUUUUUUUUUUUCUUUUAUAUAUGUGAAUGCUUUGACUAUGUAUUCAAACAUUUUGUUCAAUAACCUAUUCAUAUUUUCUUGCUUGACAAACAAUAUUUAAGUUCUUUUUUCUAAAAUGAAAAAAUAUUAAAACUUAUAAAUUUUAUAUAAAUUGUGCAUUACUUUUAUUAUAACUAAUUAAUUAAUUAAUUAUGAAGUGAAAAAGUGACAGAAUGGGUAAGGAGAGGGUGAAAAAGUGGAAAAAAAAUUAAUUGAGUGCUUUUUGGUAAGAAGUAAAAUUAAGAAAAAAGAAAAUAUGAAAAAUGACUAUUUUCGCACAUAUUCACAAAUAUAAAUCAUUUCAAAUUAAAAUAAAUAGGAAAGAAAAAAAGGAUGUGAUUGUAUAUUGUAUAUUUACAAGAUUUUCCAUUAUAUUUAAGAUUUUUUUUCAUAUUAUAUUACAAAAGAUUAUUAUUUAUAAAAAAAGUUUUAAUGGUAAAAUAUUACUAUUUUAAUUUUUUUUCCUUUUUAAUUUUGCCAAGUAAUGAAUGAAAAGAAAAUUAUUAUUUUUUAACUUUUUUUUUACUAACCAAGACACUAAUAAAAAUUAGGGAUGUUAAUGGAUAAAGUAUGGAUAACAUAGAGCAUACUCCAUUUUCAUUUUUAAAAUUUUAUAUUAUACUAAUUUUCGUACUUAUAUUUAAUGAAUAUUUUAAUAUAUAUCUAUUUUCAUCUCUAUGGGUAUUUAAUGAAUAUGGAUAAUCAUCAUACCCGUAGCUUAAAAAAAAUUAAAAUUAAAAUUUUUAAUUUUUAUCUUGUAUAUUUAAAUAAUUAUUUUAUAAAUAUAUAUUAAUAUAUAUUUUUCAAUAAAAAUAUAUUAAUUCUAAUUAAUUUAAAAUAAUAAUAUAUACUAUUUAAUUAAAAAACAUAUUUACUAAAUAUAUAAAAAUAUAUAUAACGUACAAGUAAGGGACAAAUAUUAUAUUACCCUUGCCCAUCCUCAUAUUCAAUAAAAAUUUAAAAUUAUACUUAUCUUAUUAUUAUAUUUAUAAUAUAAUACCCAUUUCUAUCUCUAUUUCGAAUAAAAAAUUAGAUUCUCUAUUGAGUAUGAAUAAGAUUAACAUUCAUAAUAAAUUUUUUUUCCUAAUUUUACAUAUUUCAAAAUUUUUAUUCACCAUAGAAAAUAAAACAAGGUUAAAUGGAUGCUACAAAAUGCAAUAAAUAUAUAUAUUUUUCUCUCUCUUGCUUCUUUCUUGGUUUGUUACAACAUUCUUGUUCUUUUUAAUGUUAUCUCUUUUAUUUUAUUUGGCAAUCAAAGUGUUUGUUAUCAACUAAUGGAUUAGAUUUCACUUCAUUCACCUUGAUGUCAUUAUUACGUAAAAUUGUUGUUCCAAUAAGGAUGGAUAAGCAUGCAAUGCCAAUAAUUCAAAACUAUUAUUCAUUUCAACAGUGGCCUAAUGAAUUUUCAUGACAUCUUGUUGUUUGGUAAGACUAUGACAUUUGUUAAAGUUGAAAAUGGAGGUCAUGUACGAGAAGGAUAAAUAGUAAACAUGUCAAUUAAGAAAAUAUAUUUUAUUUUUUUAUCGAAAUAAAUUACGAUAUAUAAUUUUUAUAUAAAAUAUAAUAUAAAUAUAUAAAUUUUAAUAUUUUAAAUAAUAUAAAUACACGAAGAUUUAGUAAAUUGACUCUUUCCGCGUUGAUGAUUGAUAAUCACAAACUUAAACAUGGGCCGUAGCUAAUAGGCCUAGAGGUACGGGCCAAGAACUAAAAAAGAUGACCCAAAUCUCGAAACCACUUUUAUUUUUGUUGUUGGACGAGGCCUAAUUUUCUAUUAUAUUCGGAUCAAAUAUAAAUGGGUUGAGAACUCUAAAACGAUGGCCCAAGUCUCGGAGCCACUUAUUAUCAUAAAUGGGCAACAUGGACAAAAAUUUAAUAAAAUUGUUUAGAUGAAAUUUAUAAAGUUUUAUUUUUUAAUUUUAAUUUAAUAAAAUUUAAGUUGAUAGAUUGAUAGAAUUUAAUAUGAAGAUUAAUAAUAUCUAAGAAAUUCAAUAUCAAAAUUAAUAAUAUAUAAAAAAUUAUUAAAAAUAUUAUUUAUAAUUUAAAUUUGAUCGAAAUUUAUUUAAUAAUAAAAAAUUUUCAAUAUUUUUAUUAAAAAAUCUAUUUCAAUAAAUAUAUAUAUAUAUUUUUUAAAUUUAGACGCUUGACUUAUAUGAUAACAUCUUUUAAUCUAUUAACUUUAAUUUAUUUAUUUUUAAUAAAAAAUUUUACAAAUUUUACUAUAAAACUUUAUAUAAGAUUUUCUCAAGGACUCAACGGAAAGACCGAAGCUUCAGCCCACUUAAUGGUUUUGGUUAGGGAUAGCAACAUGUCAUUGUCAAAUUUGUCUGAUAAUUUAAAAGAAACUAUCAUACAAUCACAUAAUUUUUAUUUAUUCUAAUUGGGUUCUACAUGUAUUCCUUACGCCACAGUCACAUGUAAAUUUAAAUAAAAUAAUAUUCAAUUUACAUAAGACGCAAUCAAUUUUUUUUGGGCAUUAUAAUUUUUUAAGCUCUGUUUGAAUGCAACCAGACCUCCAGUGAGAUGUCGCAAUGUGAGUUGGAUAUUUAAAUUCAUACUUAAUGGUUGACAGACAGCAUAUACUGGUAGGUAGCAUCCCAUGUCCACGACUCCUGUAUGGCUACCAUUUCCGGCUGGUAUGUGGUUAUUGACUUGCAUGUUGAAACAGAAUAAUACGGCUAGUUAUAGUUAAAUCUUAUUGUUAGGUUGAGUUGGAACCUGAAAGCUUUUCCUAGGAAAGUUGUUGCUUAAAAUAGUGGUUGGGUCUUUGAUUUCUAAAGUCAUGCCAAACAUGUACAACCUUCAAGGCAACUGCAAGUUGUCUGUCACAUCAUCCUUCUACAAAACCAGCAUUCAAAAACUCCAAUGGCUGAAUCAUGACAACUAAACUGCAUUAAUGGUUUGCAAAUGUGGCUUACGAUUCAAUAAUCAACACAAAGAAAGCUGUAGUACAGUUGUGCGGUAAAUGCAUUGAUGGUUCCGUAAGAGCCAAUGAGACUAGGAUUUUGUUUUUGCAGUUUGUGCUUCGUCUGCCAUUGCUAAGAACACCAUCCAAUGUAUAUUUUACUGUAACUUUUGUAGUAUUUGGUAUCAUGGGUCUCAAUUCUACAUGGUACUUGUUAGACAGAUUUGAUUACUUGAAUGCUGACAAUUUGACUAUUGCUAGAUAUUUACAUGUUGAAAAAAUGAUGGCCCUGGUCAUUCUGGAUUUGCAUAUCAGUUUGAAGAUUGUCUGUUAAUUAUUUAAAGCCUUUGGCAAGAUCCGAUAAGAAUUAUAUGACUGUAGUGGCAAGCAAAUACACAUUAAAUGGCAACCAUUUCACAACUGUAGUUCUUUUUCACCAACAUCAAAACAAACAGAAAAGGUUGUAUGUUAUAUGCAUGCAUUAACACUAAUAAUAAAUGAAGAAACAGUGAUGGACUGAUGGCCAAUAUUGCUCUUGUGAUCUGGUGUCAACAGCUGAAGUUCCCUUGUUCACAGAAACAAUGAAUCAGUACUAUAGAAACCAGUAGAUUGCAGCUUCAAUUAUCCAAUGAUAAAGGCUGUCAACAUUGAUUAUUGACAAUGGCAUUGAGCCCCCAUCGGACCGCCUUAACUAUCAUGUUCUUCAUUUGUUCCAACUAUGCUUACUGUGGUACCCCAGGAAGACAACAAUUUCAAGAGUAAAAUUGAUAAGUCUUGGCUUGAAGGAUGAUUUUCCUCAACCCUCCAAUGGGUGAUAGGACCAUCAAGAAAACGCCUAAUACAAUGCAGAUCUGUGAAAAAAAAAAAGGGGGAAAGCCAAAUCAGACCAAGUAAAAUGGGAUUCGAAGCACAUUGAAACAAGGAGAUUAAUAAAAUUUAAAUCAAGUUUUAUGUACCCAGUUAGUCCACCAAGAUAAGCUGAACUUUCUUGGUUUGUAGAUGGCAAGCCACAUGAUGCAAGGGAGCUAAAGAACAAAAAGGAAGAGAAAAUGAGUAAUAGUGAACAAGUACUUUUGUAGUAAGAAGAAAGAUGGCAUGAACGGAGAAUGUGGCUUACAAAAUAUGUUGUUGGUGCAAAAGCAAAUCCUCCGAAAAAUCCAAGAAGACCACCGAAGAAAGGGAAGGUAAUGCCAACGAACAUUGUGAACGCUGCAAUAAAGAUAUGACAUAAUUAAACUCCUUUAAUUCCCUUCCUUUAGUUGAUAUCAAGACCUCGAUCAAUUGCAUGCAAGUAAGAUGAAAUGAAUGAACAGUUUUACUUACCAACAUAAAAAUUGCGAACAAUGAAUCGAAGUAUUCUAGUGGGCCUAAAAUGUAAUUUCUUUACUAGUGCAGUUUCCAUCAUAUCAAACACUGGCAUUGCAUAGAUCUGCAUAGACAAAAUUUAAAACCAAAAUCUAAUUGAUUAUCUGCUAAAAUGAUAAAAUCUGAACAAGGAUAUUAAAAAGAUAUUGAUUGAUAAAAACCUGGUAGCUUCCAAUGACAUGAACAACAACAAACAUGUUAGCCAUUGCAAUAAGCCAUUUUGGUUUCUCCAAUGAAAUGAGGAUGUUGUCCUGGACAGCAUUCCCAAACAUCCAGUACCCAAUUAAAGCAACAGGGAAAUAGCACAAGGCCACAACUAUAUAGGCAAUUAUAACACCUCUCCACAUGGGUCCCUUUGAUGGCUUCUCAGGUGUAGAUGGGAUUGUAGCUUGGAUCUCCAAGACCACAUUGUGCCCAGCAUAGGCAAAAGCGACAUCCCCCAAGGCAUUGAAGAAGUCGAAAACUGUUCCUGCUGCAGUCUUAGCUUUGUAGCCAUAUUGUACAUCUGGCUGAACACCCUUAGCUAAUGAAGCUCCCCAAGCAAUAGUUGAGUAACUGUAUGUCAAGCCAAUCACCAAAUCUUGCAUUAGCAUAUCAAAUAUUAACAUUGACUCUUUAAUUUUUUUCAGGUUCUGUUUAAUUUAUAUGAAAUAGCAUAUGAAAGGAUUUAAUACCUCAAGGACAUGACUGCAGCUGCCAAGGAGACACCAGCAAUGGAGUUGAAGUUGGGAAGGUGAGACAGCACAAAGUGAACAGAGGCAAAAAUCAUAAUGAAAUAUGUUUGUUUUAUCUCUUUGCAGUUUUUGCUGCAGACAGUGUCAUGGAACUUCUUCAAUGAUUGUCCUCCGGUAACCAUGUAAACUAUGCAGACACCAACUUCAACAAUAAGUUGCUGUGGCACCACAAUGUAGAGACCAAGCUUUUCACCAAAGGCAUAUUGACCCAGUUCAUGGUAUCUAUCAAAACGUUUUCCUGGAACCAUCUCAUGCAUCUCAACCAUUUGCCAUAGGGUAUACAGGGUAAUAAUCCAUGAUAGGAUUAGGAUAACUACACCAGGACCCCUGAGAUGGUUAAAAUAUCAGAGUUCCAAACUAACUUCAUCAAAUAAUUACGUAAUUAAAAAUUUUACUAUUUGUUUAAAACUUCCUUGUUUUAUUAGGUAGUUUUUGCACUGAACUCUUCAGAACUUACCAUCCAAGCUCUGACAUGGCAUAAGGGAGACUGAGGACACCAGCUCCAACCAUAGCAGUGACAUUGUGGAAAGCUGAAUACCACCAUUUUGCAUUCCUUGAUGAGGUAAUUGGCAACCAAUCAUCAAUUGCUUUCUGCCUUGCUAAUUUCUCCUCAAACUGUAAUUGACAGUUGAACAAUUCUCUCAAUUAGUUUUAACUUUUGAGUAUUGACAGCAAUAAAUUCAUAAUUCAUAAUAACUUAUAUGUAUAGAAAAAAACUGAAAAAGUAAAAGAAAACCAGUUUUCAUCAACCAAUAUCAAUGGUUCAAUGUUGGCCACCUACUUGGUUCCCACUUCACACGUUUAUCUCUAUCAAUUCUAACAAUUUCAUUUAUUAAUAUUUGUCUUGCUUAAACGAGAUAAUAAGAGAGCUCCUACUGCAUAGGUUUCGUGUUUGUUUAAAUACAGAUAACUUCAUCUUCAAAUACAGACAAACAAAAUCCUACAGAUUAGACAUUACACACUAAUAAAAGUAAAAUACUUUUGGGUUUCGGCUUUGUCUGAAAGUAUUAGAAACAACUAACCAUGUGCUUACAUGUGAAUCCAUCCUAUAAAUCAGAUUAACUAUAAACAGAAAAUUAAGCAAAACUCUACAGAAACAUUUUUUUUUCUCAGAUAUUUGGUUCAAUAAUUACAAGCUUUAAAUGUAUGAUUACGGUAAAACAAAUGAAUACGUUAAGUAUUGGCUGGAGACUUCAUGGCCAGCUGCCACCAGUGAAAAAGGGUACUAUAAUUUCAGUCAACAUUUAAUGCAAUUCCUUCUUACAAGGGGUUAUUACAUAAUCAGAGUUGAAAAUAAGGUGCCGUAAUAAAGAAGAAGGUUGAAAUUAAGAUAUUAAUAAAUUUCCAGUACUGACUUGUGAUGAACCACAGAAAGAAAAAAAAAAAAAAGGAACCCGUUGAACAAGAAUCAUCUUUUCAAGCUCAGGAUUAAGCCAAACGUUAGAUAGCAAAGAAAAGUUGAAGAGAGGCAAAAAUGACCGGAGAAUCAAAGUUAUCACAGGCAGAGCCGCAGAGACUUCGAGCUUGAAACUGUUUCAAUUCCCAAGUUCUUAUGAUGAGCAAAUAAUUCAAGAACUAUCCUCUCUCUCUCUCUCUCUAUAUAUAUAUAUAUAUAUAUUCAUGGCAUAAUCUGACGGUAACCAAAACCAUAACCUGACAGAAAACUAAAGAGCUAAAAAGGGCAAAAAACACAUCAUAUAGAUACAAAAGAAUAAAGUUAAAGAGACAAAACUCUAAUAAGUUUGUAAAAGUUUUCAUCAACUUUUUUUUUUGGUUAAAAAAAAAGCAAGACAAAACAGUACUGCAAUUGCAUGCACAAAGGAGAGGUUACAGAAACUUACACUGUUGCCCCUGGCAUAAUCGUUGUCAGAAGGAGUUUGCGUUCCCAUGUCUUAAACACAGCAAAAACAAAGAAUGAAAAAUUAAAAAGCAAGGAUGAAGGUGAAAACCAAUGGAAGUUGAACCCUGGAAAAAUUUCAUCGGGUUUGUUUAGCAUUUAUAAAGGAAGAGGGGACUCACAGAGUAUCAUGAAACGUGGCGUUUUUCAUGUUUUUGUUUGACUUUACAAAUUCUUCAUACAGACCAAAAAAAAUCUAAAUAUAUUAAAAUUGGAUAUAAAGAUUUUUAUUGUGGUAAAUCUAUAAUAAUAUAAAAUUUUAUUAAAAGAGUAAAAAAAAAAUGAAAUUGAUUUUACUUAAGAAAAAUAUUAUUAUUUGUUUUAAUCACUUUUGUCUCAAUAUUUUUCCUUUUUGAUGUGUCAAUAAUCUAUUGACUUAAAUAUAAUAUCAUACUUACUCAUGAAAUGAUAGAUCCACUUUUAAAUUUAUGAAAUAAUUAUAUAUUAUAUCAAAGAAUAUAUAUUUAUUUAUUUAGAAGAAUCAAUUUUCAAUGUAAAAUUUUUUAGUUUUACGUUUUUUUUAAUAAUUAAUUUUAAUAAAUUUAAAGAAUGAAAUUAUAUCAUAUUAAAAUUAAUAAUUAAAAAUAUAAAAAUUUUUUAAUACAACUUGAUCCUUCUCUAUUUAAAUUUGUUUUAUUUGUUAUACAGUAGUUCAAAGUGUCACACACUGCUGAAUAUACUUUUUUGUCAGAUAAAUCCGUACAAAUGCUCUAAAAACUAUGGUGAUAGCAACCAUUUCAUUAAAAAAAAAAAAAUCAGCAUUGGAAAUUUGAAUGUAGCAACAUUAUUUUGAUUAAGCUUAUACAACUCAAUGAAUCAAUAAUUAACAAGAAAACCACCCAGAUCUCAAUCAUGAUUAUAAUUUCAUAUUUAUUCAAAUUAUUCUGCUAGUUUGGACCAAUCACAGUUGAGAAAUUUUGCCAAAGCAUUAGCUAGUCAAUGCAAACAAGAAAAAUAGAGUAUAAUUCCUUCACAUGUAAGGAAAUUGCUAUAACUAAUACCCUGUCUUAGCCAGAUUAUAUAUUCACAGUAUUUUGCAAUUAAAUUUCUCAGAAACCAAACAUAUUCAAAAUAUCAAGGAAAAGAAAAAAUUUUCAUUUCAUCCACCAAUAUGAGCUAUGAUAGGGCUUAUUAAAAAAAGUUUGCAAAAUUUGAUUUUGCUUUUUAAUUUAAGCGUGUCUUCAAAUUUAAUUUGUAUGAAUUUAAAUUUUUCGAACGAUUUUAAAAAUGCAUUCAUAAUUUUUAUGCUAAAAUAAUUUUUAAAAUAAUUUUUUGAAUCUCUAGCCGUCCAAAAUUGAUUUUAGAAAAAGCAGUAAGACCACAAAGAAAGCUAGCCACCUAGUUGAUGAGAAGGUCGACUUUGUUGGGUUUUUUUUUUUUUCUUUCUCUCUCUCUCUCUCUCUUUUAAGUUAAAGCACAUUGAGAUUCUUGUUUCUUUGCUCGAAUCUCAUUUUUUAUUCUUUCAAUCCAACCAAUUAUAUAUAAAAUUUAGUAGUAUUAUGGUUUUGAUGUGGGCGGUCAAUUAAGGCACAAAAAGAUUGCAUUGAAUCUUCCUUGUUCACACACUAAAAAGAUUGGAGUGUGGGACUCAAUUACCGAAAGAUUUGAUAAUUUGAAAUUUAAUAUCAUGAUAUUAUAUAAAUAUAAUAUGAAAAUAUUAUAUAAAAAUAAUACAAUUUAAAAUUUUAAUAAUAAUUAUAUAUAAAUUUAAUAAAUAUAAAAAAUAUAUUUUUUAUAAUUUUUAUGUAAAAUAUAAUAUAAAUACAUGAAUUUAAAUAUUUUAUACGAUAUAAAUAUAUGAAUUAUUAGAUCUAAUUAAUAUUGUAAUAUUUGAAAAUCCACCAAAACGGUUGCUAUGAAACUAUGAUACUCAUUUUCAAAUCAAGUAUUUUAAUCCUUAAUUAAUUUAUUAAUAUCAAAGGGAUCAAAACUAGAUAAAUUAAGAAUUAAACUUAGUCUAAUAAUCAUCACAUUUUUUCGAACGAAGUUAUAGUAAGAGAAAGGUUAAGCUUAAUUCAUAUGUAUAACAAUAAUAAAGAUUUUGAUUUUUAUGCCUAAUAUAAAGUGGGACAUGUGGCUUUUGUAAGUGAUACAAUCAUGUGUUUUGUUUUUAUUAUCAGGUGAUGAUAAAAUCAUGUGAUUUGAUUUUUUUUUCACUCACCCGCUCGCUCAUAUUAAAAUUUUAUUUAAAUGAGUGGUGAAAUUGAUUUUAAUAAAAUUAAUAAUAAUAAUAAUAAUUAUUAUUAUUAUAAUAAUAAUUAAAAAAAUUAUUGUAGUUGUAAUUGAAAAAUAAAUUUUAAUAAAAUAUUUAUAUUAAAAGAAUUUUAUUAAAAUUAAUAUUUAAAUUUAAUUGAUAAUAUGGUAAAUUUAUCUAUACUUCAUCGAAAAUAAGGUAAAAUUCAAACCUAAUUUAAAUAUAAAAGAAAGAAAAAACCAUGCGGAAAUAAGCCAAAUUUGUGGAAAUUUCAAACACAAUUACACAUGCGAGGACUAAGGCUAUAAAUUUCUAGUCAAACACCUAAUUCGAUGGGACACUUGCUUUUUGUUUAGGAUUCGAGCGCAAUUUGUCUAACAAAUGCGUGUGUGUGUUAGCCGUGGUUUGCCGGUGUUGACUUUUCUGUGUGUAUGUGUUUGUCGAGGGCUCGUCCUUGCCCCACAUGGAUACCAAUUUUCCUUGUUGCUUAACUCUUAUAUAAAGAAACCAAUAUUUUUUAUUAAAAAAAUUUCAGGUAAAAAAAAAUAUAUUCCGAGAUUUAAGUCCUUUUUUUAUUAUAAUAACAAUAAAUUAAAAUUUAUAUCUCAUAUUAGAUUCUAUUGUAUAAAAAAUUAAAAAAAAUUAAUCUUAUUAGAUUGUAAUUUUAAAAUUUUUUGUAUUAUUAAUUUUUAUCAAUAAUAACUUUUUUUUUAUUUAUUUCCUUAAUAAUUAUAUUAUUUUUUAUUAUUUAUAUUUACAUAUUUCGUGUUAUAUCUUUAAAAGUUUUUAUUUUUCUUAAAUUUAAAAAUUCAUUUCUUCUAAUUAAUAUACAAAUAAACAUAUGUUUCAUAUGUCAAAAUUAUCUCAAAUAAUUUUUUUUUUUCAAUUCGAAUUAUCUUUAGUUAUUUUUAAUUUUUUUAAUUUUUAAUUUUAUUUCUUCUAAUCGUAUCAUAAUCCAUUUAAAUAUACUCAUUUUAAUUACAUUCAUUUUUUUGUAUUAUUUUUUAACAAUCUAAUAUAAAAAAAAUAAUUACAAAAAAUUAAAAUCGAUCAAUUUAACCAUUUUAAUAAUAAUUUCUUAUCAAAAUCUUCUUCUUCGAAUAAAAAUACGCACUAAUCAAUAAGUCAAUUGUUCGAAAUAUAACAUUCUUGCUAUGGUAUAAUUAAAAGAUUUGAAUAUUAAAACUUUAACUCUUCUAUAAACAAUUGCAAAUCAAACUCAAAUUGUGUUUAGUAAAUUAAGAAUGUGACAAUUGUUUUCAUUUACUUAUUCUAGCUUUACAAGCCAAGUUGGGUAAUUGUAAAUAGAACUCUGAUACCCCAAGGAAAAAUCUUUGAAAUUUCUAAUGUGUACUAAAAUUCAACUCGUUGAUUCAAAGUAACCUUGGUCAGCUCUUCUUGCGUGCUUCAUAAAUGCAAAACUAGGUAACCGAAACCGCUUCAACAGCUGCAAUAACAUCGAAACUUAUCCAAGAAAAAGAUUACAAGAUUUUCCUCCUUUGAAUUAUAUAUCUGUCGUCAAGUGUCAGGUAGAGGUGUUUUUCAAACAAAGUUAUCUGAAAAGAUGGAAAAUUUUGUCCCUUUAAUUAUUGAAAGAAUUAAAAUGUCAAUGGUAAGGGCGAAGAAUAGACUCAUGGCUGUUGGAAGAUCGUGUUUGGAUUUACCCUGAUGAUGUUUACAGGAAGGAAUUAUUUGCUUAAUUAGUGACGUUUACUAUCAUUUAUUUAUUUUUCUAAUUGUUUCAAAUCUAAUUAUAUAAUAAGAUUCAAAUAGCCGAAUAUGAAUAAAUUUAAUUUUAUUAAUAAUUAUUUAUUUAUUUUUAAUAUUAUUCGAGAUUGAUUUAGAUUUGACAUUAUGUUUGAAUAUAAUUUAUUUAAGUUAAAUGAAUUUGACAAUUAAUAUAUUUAUGAAUAUAUAACGGUACAUGUUUGCAAUUAAUUUAAAAUUUGUUUGUUAAUAAUAAAAAAGGAUAUCCAAAUAUAUUUAAACAAAUAAUCUUAUUGUUCAUAACAAACUAUCUCUAAAAAUAAUUCAAAAUUAAAAAAAUAUAAGUAAAUGUAUGAAUGAAGAAAUGAAAUAAUAAUAAUAACAUAUAUUAUUAUUUUAUCAUUGAAUAAUAAAAGAGUUAUAAAGUAGAAAAAUAUAACCAUCAUUUUCAUUUUCAAGAGAAUCAUGUUGACAAGGUCGCAAGCAAUCGUAUUGAUCAAUUUUUAGAGAAUUAAUUUGCAUGGAAGCUUCAUAUAUAAACUAUACAUUUAUGUACUUAAUUAGUGCUAGAUUCUUCAUACAAUUGAAGCAUUGAUGUUUUACAUUUGUACUUACCACGUUUAAAAAAAAAAAGAAAUAUUUGUCACAAUUUUCCUCCCUAAUCAACCGACCUUCAAUUAAAUAUAUUAUAACCCGAUAUUUUUUAAAUUUAGAAAAUAUAUGUCAGCAUCUCAAUCAUUUAGAAAAACAAUUAAACAUGGCAAAAGUUUUUUUCAAAUGUAGGUAACCACCAUAAAAAAUUAACAAAAAUAAUAUUUAAAAACAAAUGAAAUAAAAAAUUAAAAUUAAUAUCCGUGUGAUCUAUUCAUAGAGUAUUGAAUUUUUAAUUUUAAUAAUCUUAAAUAUAAAAAAAUAAAGAGAUUUAAAAGUUGUAUAUCAAGUCUUGAACUAUAAGGAAAAGGAAAAAUUACAUCAUGAUUUAAUUUAGAGUUAAUUCACAAUUAUUCAUUCAUAUUAUCAAAUGUUAAAAAAAUCCUCAAGAUCUGCUUUUGCCAAGUUGGGCUUGGGUUGACUUGCUUGCAAUUAUUAUAUUGGGCCCAUAUCGACGUGGUCUCAACUCCUAAAGGCUAAAGCCUGCAGGCUGAAGCUUAAGGGCAAGGGCAUCUAUGUUGGGCUAACUGGGCUAGCCUAGGACUCGAUUAAUGGGUAAAUGCUGGUUAACUGGCUACUUGCUGGUUGAUAUGGCCCAAAGAUCAUGGUUAAUUUUGUGGCUUCGUCUUCCACCAUCGACAUUAGGCAGCAAAAGCUAAUUAUACUAUGAUAGUAUCCCUUCUGGCAAAAGCCCAAAACUAUACACUUGGUGCACAAAAUUGGAUUAAUUAUAGAUCAGUGUUAAUACUUUUUCUCAUCCAAGGUUAUGUGCUUUUAUCUGCCAUGUAAAACCGUCUUUUCUUUCUCUACAAGUUUAGAAUUCAUCAUGUCAACUUCUCCCAGACUUUGAGAGAAAUAAGAGGGCAGUGAUACACAUAAUGACAUAAAGCAAACUGCCUAGAAACAUUACCUGUUUUUUUGGCUACUUCACUUGCAGUGAAACAUGAAAAGUUUAUUUCGACAUGCAGUUUUUUUAAUCUGACAAGUACUGAAGUUAGAUAUAUAAAACAGGCAGCAAGUUACAGAUCUUGAUAAUUUUUUUUCCAUGUCAGUAAGUUGCCUUUUACAUAGAUUCAGGUGGUUGGCCUUCAGAUCAUUUCAGGACCCAACUCUUCUGCCAGAGACAAUCAAGCGAUUGAGAACAUGGCAGGAUUGACAGUAGUCUGGUUCUGCCUCUGCCUGCUAACUUGGAUUUUCACAGCCAGGUCCGAACCCCGAAAACAGAAAUACAGUCUCCUUAAUCCCUUUUUGGUUGAUCCUUGCUUCUCAAUUGUACUUGGAUUGGAGCAAGAUGGUCCAGCAUUAUCACUCUCAAUGAAAAUCCCGUUUUGUUUAUGCAAUGAGCUAGAAGAAGAUACGAAUGACUUUGAGAAUGAACUCGAAUCUUCGAGGAAUAGUUAACUGCGGCAUGGCUUGCGUAACACCAUGCAUUAUAUCUGAAGCAAGUUUCUUCUUUGCAAUUGGACUGGACUGAUUACUCCUCACAGAAAGCGCUCUCUUGUUGUUAGGAAGUGAUGAAGGCUUUGAAAAUCUCUAAGUGGAAUUGGAGUUUCUUCUGAGCAACCCUUAUUUAUUGAUUUCUUUAAUCGUUUAGGCUUUUUCUCCUUCAACCGAGGCCCAUGGAGAACGCUUUUCAAUUGCCGUGCUGCAUUAUUCAUCGAACCUGGUUUGCUAUCGACUGAUGACUACUAGCAUCCGAUGUUGUCCAAACCCUACUCACAAAAACAUAUAGAGAAAACUAUAAGAAUGUGAUUAUAAAUUUUUAUAAACUCCAGUCAAAGAACUUGGAUUUUGUUGAAAUGUUGAGGUUGAAUUGUCAGAGCAACUACUCAUUUAUGGAAAAGAGUUUACUGUAAUGAGGGGGAUUGAGGAGGCUAAACCAAGUUAUCUGCAUAAAAUCUUUUACAGUUCGUGCAAAGGAGAAAAAGCUUCUGGUUCAGUAGAGCAGUGUUACACCAAAUGGGAACCAUAGGCCUAUUCAAGGGAACAGAUGGACAAAAGUCGAUGACAUAAGGGAAGAAAAAGGGAAAAGCGUAUACCUCUCACAGUGAAUCUCCUAAAGAAUGAUAGACUCUGAACCCACCACUGUUAUGUUGGGUAUGGGGCCGAGAAGAGGUGGCUUCCACUUAAAAGUUACAAUGACAAUAUCAAAGAUUUCGGGCCCAAAUGACUGAUGCAAUGAACAUUUCAAUUAGUGAUGACAGGUCCAAUCGAAUUUUUGCUCGAAUUCAAUUCAAUUUUAAGUAUAUAAAAUUUAAAUUAUUCGAUUCGAUAAAUUUUAUUAUUAUUUUUAUAUUUGAAUUUGAUUUGAUCCGAUACUAUAUAAAAUUGUAUCUGAUUUGAAAUUAAUAAAAUAUUAUUUUUAAUAUAAAUAUAAAAUUAAAUAUAUAUAAAUAAAUAUAACAUUAAAUAAACACUUAAAAAAAGAAGUUAUAUAUAUAUAUAUAUAUAUCAGGUUGGGUUUGCUUAAAAUCCGACUCCAAUCAGACCUUAAAUUUUUUUUUUUAUGUUACCCGACCCGAUCUGAUGCCUGAUUAAAAAAAAAAAAAACGACCUUAAGAGAUUAGGUGGGUCGAAACCCGUCAGUUUCGAAUUUUUUUACUUUUUCGAAAUUAAUAAAAUAUUAUUUUUUAAAUAUAAAAUAUUAUUUUAAAUAUAAAUGUAAAAUUAAAUAUAUCUAAUAUAUAUAAAUAAAUAUAAAAUUAAAUAAAUAAUUAAAAAAAUAAGUUAUAUAUAUCAGGUCGGGUAGGGUUAGGUUUGCUUAAAACCCGAUCCCAAAUUUUUCUUUAUGCCACUCGACCCGAUGUCCGAUUAAAAAAAAAAAUCGACCUUAAGAUAUCGGAUCGAAAUCCGUCGGUUUCAGAUUUUUUUGCUUUCUCUAAUUUCAAUUACGAGUGAAAAGUAUCCGUACAUGAUAAAUGUCAUUUUAGUAGAGGAGAGAGAGAGGAAUGCAACAACCAAUUGAUUCCAGUGGUUGCCUCUAUUCUUGAGAUGUAGGGAAUGUACAACAUAGCGAGAAGAUUUGAAUUGAUUAAUUUAUGGUUUGAAAUUGAAAUUAUAUCUGAUCGUGGUAUUUGAUUUUAUACCCUGAUAAUGUACAUUAUCUCCAUUGUCUUGAUAGAAAAAUAAAAGGCCAUAUGUAAUACUUUCCCAUCUUUUAUUUUAAGUCAAUGUAAUGUUGAAUAGAAGAAUUACCAUGGUAGCUUUAUGCAAUAAGCAGCCAUACAACAAUUCUUCAUCAUUGGAUAUGGUAGAUUAUUUCUCGUUAAAAGCAGUUCUAAAGAGAAGAGAAAAUGAAAAACUAGAAGGGACAGCCAACAAAGCAGCAUUUGGAGACACAGAGAUAUGCUUAAUUAUUUUUGCUUUGCCUUCAUUUCUAUUCCAUCAAUACACACGCAAAUGAAUCAACGGAGGGAAUCCCAGAAGAAAGGAUGCAUCGUUCUUGACAAAGAAAUAAUGCCUCAUAUAAAUUACUUUCAAUAAUCGUAGUAUCAGUUUUUGGCCUUGACCGAAUUGUUUUCUUUUAUCCUUGCUCGGUUGUCCAACUUGACAAAGCGUUUUAAGAUCUUCAUAUGGAAGUGUUUCAAUGUUUUUCCUCCUUAGCUCACUCAAUGCUGGACGUUUGUCAAGCAGAUGCCACAGCCAAUCAGGGUACUCAGAAUCGGGCAUGAUUUUCGAGUCUGCUCCAUCCUUAAGUAUAUUUGCACCAACCACUGUUGUCGACUUCACUUCUUUGCUGAGUAUUGAUGCUUUUGGCGCAUCACUGGCUGCCCCUUUAGAGCCUUUCUUAGUUUUGCCAGCCCCUGCAGCAAAUGUUCGAUGUCCCACAGCAACUGCCUCCUUGGCAACAAUGACACUUCUCAAUGAUCUGAUCUGAUUUAAUGCCAUGGCCUUUAUCCCUGUAAAAUUUAUGUCAAUAAUUGUAGAAACAUGUAAAACAAAAAUAAAGAAACGCUUAUUUAUUGAUUUAUUUUUUGUACCGGUGAAGCAAAAUCAUUAACAGGCACCAAGAAGUCAAUAGAAGAAUCACAUUGAUCCAACUAUUCACUUUAUCCCUACCCAGGUUGGACGCAUUGCAGACACCUCAGAUAGACAUGGGUAUGACUGUUGGACCCUCCAAAAUAAGGAAAAAAAUUUGUAAAUGCUGUAGCCAUGUUGGAUGUGGAAUGUUUCUGAUACAUGUACCAUGUUUGGGAACAUGGAUAGGAUCCAAAGAGGACAUUGCAGCUAUCACUUCAACAUUUUGAGGAAAGAAAGUUCUUAAAAAAAGUUUGUAUCCUAAAAUCAAAGGGCCAAUGCUUAUUCAUGAAAUCAAAGCUACUAGGUGAUGAAAUAGAGAAAAAAAAAUGAAAAAGAAGAAAGUUCUUGGGAUUGGGUUUCCCUUAGUAGAUAAAGACUAAGAGUGCCUGGAUACAGUUUCAUAUCACAGAUGCUCAAGAAGAUAAAAAGGAUAUGCAGAAAAAAUAACCAUGAAAUUACAACUUCAUCAGUCAUAAUUAUUCAAGAAAUAUCGCCAUCCUACUUUACUUUCCAAAGAGAAGAGAAAACAUGUAAAUCUCCCAUCCAUUUAUUAUUCAUUGAAUCCUAUCAAGCUCAUUUAUAGCAUGUGCAAUGCCCAAAAUAAUACUAUAACAUCUACCUCAAGAAGUACCACAUUCGCAUCCAAUAUCAUAACUCCAAGCAACAAGCCUAUAUUGAGGAGAAAAAAAAGUACAAGGGGAGUCAAAAGUUCACUCAAGCAAAUUCAUUCUAUAGGCAUCUGCUUAUGCAAAUUUGAAUAGAACAGCAUUUCUCAUGUAUCUUAAUCAUUUAAGUCCAAACUCCAAAUACCAUGGAAACAAGAUUCAAGCUUCUUAAAACAAGUUGCAAGUGUUAAAUCAAACAUAUACUGUUGAACAUUCCAAACUUAAUUAUAAAAACUUUACAGAACUAAAUCAAAGAAGCAUCCAUUCAACAGAAUAUCCAACCAAUCGCAAUAAAAGAAAAAGGAAAAAAAUAGGCAGUGCAUUUUCUCUCCGGGUUUGGAGUAAAAAUAAGGUAAGCCAAUUGGGCACGGCAAGAAUAGGAAUGAACUUUGUCUGAUUGAUUUCUAGGAAAUCAAUGGAAAAAAAAGGAAAAGAAAAAUUCCAUUUCUUUUUAUCUCUGCUUCAGCUAUUUAUCAGUAACUAAACAGUGCAAUAGAAAAGAAGAGCAAGUUAAAAGAAGUUACCUUUCUUGAGAAUUCGUAAAGUUAAAUUCUUGCGCCUCCCUUUCGGAUUGAAAUUUAGGAAUUUAGGGUUUCUGAGACAAAAUUGAAAAAAGAGCUGCACCUCCAGAAGGAGAAGAUUUUUAUUGGAGUGGACUGCAAAACUUUGGGCUUGUUUGGGCUCAUCGUUUUCCAGCUUAAUAUGAAGAUUCCCCCAGUCUUAAUAGGCCAUGAUCCAUUAAUGGAAUGGACCUCUAUUAAAUUUGGGCUCGUUUGGGCUCAACAUGGCUGAGUCGUUGAUCAUUCCUAUGAGGCCAAUAAUCAAGGAGAAAUAGUGCCAGGUUAAAAUAAAAAUUCGAAAAAAUAAAAAGUUGUUAAAUCGAAUUGCAUUAAACUUGUAAAAUUCAGUUCAAUUUGAUUGAAGUCGAACAAAGACUUGAUUUAAAUUUUGAUCAAAUUUAAAAUUUUUUAAUGUUAUAUAAAAAAAUCAAAUCGAAUAUGAUUCUUCGAAUUGUUAAUCCAUUAAAAUUUUUGGAUCAGAAAGGCCGAAAAUCUCAUAAAAAAGCCCAACCCAACGCCUUUCCAAUUUCCCAAGUUUCAUGACCUACCUAAACCCUAAUAAAAACCCUCGGUCGAUGACUUUGCUCAUAAAAACCAGAAACCCCCAAAUCAAAAUCAAACGAAAUUGCAAGAAAUGGGAAGCAACCAAGCCGCAGUCUCUUUCUUAACCAACCUCGCACGUGCCGCCUUGGGUCUCGGCGCCGCCACCACUGUCCUCAACGCCUCCAUGUACACGGUAGACGGUGGCCAAAGAGCUGUGAUCUUUGACCGUCUAAGGGGAGUAUUGGAUGAAACGGCGGACGAAGGCACCCACUUUUUGAUCCCAUGGCUACAGAAGCCUUUAUCUACGAUAUCCGUAUGAAGCCCCACACUUUCUCAUCUGUUUCUGGAACAAAGGAUCUGCAAAUGGUUAAUCUUACUCUUCGAGUUCUUUCUAGACCUAAGGUAAUCAAGACAAAAAGCUUUUUAUUUCUUUAGGUUAACGGGUUUGUUUGAUUUUUGAGAUUUUUUUUCUUUGAUAAAGAACUAAAGCAUUUUGAUAUGGGCAUGCUGUUUUUUUUUAAUGAUUUUAUGAAAUGGGUUAAUGAAGGUUCUGGGUUUUGUUUUUUUGUUUGUUAAGAAAUGAUAAGUCUUAUCCAUGAAAUGAGCUUGUCAAUGUGGUCAAGAGUUGUGGACCAACUUACUUCUGCUUUCAUUCUAGUUUUGCUUGUGUAUUUAUAUUUGGUGAAUCCACGGAUUUAGUUUAUUCUUUAAAGACUAAUGUCUUAUUGGUGGUAUUUUUGCAAAAGGUGGAUAAGCUUCCUGAAAUCUAUCAACGCCUUGGUCUUGAGUAUGAUGAAAAAGUGCUUCCCUCAAUUGGCAAUGAGGUGUUGAAAGCUGUGGUUGCACAGUUCAAUGCUGAUCAGCUUCUCACUGAGCGUCCCCAAGUGUCAGCAUUGGUCCGAAAUUCACUGACCCAACGAGCAAAGGACUUUAACAUUGAGCUAGCUGAUGUGGCUAUUACACAUUUGUCAUAUGGAGCUGAAUUCUCUCAGGCAGUGGAGCAGAAGCAGGUGGCUCAACAGGAGGCAGAGCGUUCCAAGUACAUUGUGAUGAAAGCUGACCAGGAGAGGAGGGCUGCUAUUAUCCGGGCGGAAGGUGAAAGUGAGGCUGCAAAGUUGAUUUCUGAAGCAACUGCAAGUACUGGUAUGGGGCUGAUUGAGCUAAGGAGGAUUGAGGCAUCUAGGGAAAUUGCUGCAACUCUUGCUAGGUUCCUAAUGUGGCAUACCUGCCUGGUGGACAGAACAUGCUUCUAGCUUUGAAUCCAUCUAGGCCAUGAUGGCUGCUUGAAUUAUGGUAAUUUUCAUUACCUAUAUAUUUUACAUGGCAUUUGCAGUUAUUGUUACUUCCUUACUUAAUAUGUUCAUUUGAUAAUCUUCACUGCUUAACAUCACCUGAGUUUUCUGACAGAAAAUGGAUACUGCUUUCCUUAUGUUAAACAAGGAGGUUGCUUGAGUUCCACUUUUGACCUGAAUAAAAAAUUUAUUCAAUGUUACCCUUUUGAAAAGCAAGUCCGGCAAUGAAAUUAAAAUUUUUUUCAAGUCAAUUUCUGCGUUUCUUUUGAAUAAAACGCCGUAAUUGGUAAAUUUUUUUUUUUUGUAAUUCCAUAUAUUCUAUAACUGGCUAUUACGGCAUUUUCCUUAAACAUAUGCAGUAAUUACCAAAUUAGUUUUGCAUUUGAUGAUUGGCUAUUACAGCGUUUACCAUGUAGAAACGCCGUAAUUGACCAAUUUUUCCAGUUUCUGUUUUUCUUUGGCUAAUUAUUGCAGUUUCUGUUGGGUACCACCAUGAUACAUGACAAUUUCAUAAUGAUUUAUUCAAGUACUAUCAAAAUCAUCAUUGCAGCAAAGAAAUAGUAUUAUAAUUGUCUUAUUUUUAUUUUCAUGUAAUGUUAAUUAUGUGAGAUGUGGUGCCUGCUAUGUUCUUUAAUUACUAUUAACUUGUAGUUUAUGAUGUGUUGCUGAUUUAGUUGAUUUCAGUAUUAACAUGAUAUUGAGAACAAAUCACACAUAGAGUAAACAACUAUUCCUUACCAAAAUAUUAAAAGGUAGUUGGUUACUCUUGGUCUGAUUUGUUCUGAAUUACUAUCAUGAUGCUGUGUCCAUCCACCAUCUAUUUCAUGAGGGUGUUGCUUAGAAGUAAAAAUGCCUGCAGUUCAUCUGCUCUCCUCGUCUAGAUAGAAUUCACAAUUGAGUUUUGCCUUUUGUUUGGUAUUUUCAUUCUUUUUCGAUUACAUGGUGAAUGCAAUUAUGAUACUUCAUAGAAGGCAGUAUAUGUGAUACCUUUUAAGGGCAGUGACUUUUGCAUUGUUACUUUUUCGGUUCAGGCCUUACGAAGAUCAACUAUGAACCUUUACUGCUGUUGUAAUGGUUCUGAUUUUUCCUUUGGCUGCUGCAGGAUCUUAUGACUUGGGUGAGGCUGGACAGGGUGAAUUUGCAGUCUUUUGCCUUAUUGAUGGUAACAUUCUGAUGUUUGAAACCAUCUUAUUUGUCCAAAAAAAAAAAAAAAACUUUUAAGGACCAGAUGUUUAGCAUUAAAAAAGUUUUUGAUGUUAAGUUGGAGAACAUGUGGCUUUUAGAUUUAGAUCAGAAGUAUAUUCAGACAUUUUAGAAUUUCAAAGAUGGUUUUGCUUGUUCAAUUCUUGGUUGUUUCCAAGUAUCCUUGAAGCUUUUCCUUAAUCCUAUCUUGUUUGGUUCCCAUUGCUAAUAAAAUUCUUCAAAGUUAUUUAAUAACAGAUGCUUGAUGUUCUAUUGGUCUAAAAGCUGCCUGAAGGAAUUUGAGAAAUGUAGAUGCUUAAUAGUUGCUAUGUAGUUUCUUUGAUGUUCUGAUACUGGAUGAAGUCAUGAAGAUGAUUAUAAUACAGAGAGAUGGGCUCAUUUAAUUUUUUUNNNNNNNNNNNNNNNNNNNNNNNNNNNNNNNNNNNNNNNNNNNNNNNNNNNNNNNNNNNNNNNNNNNNNNNNNNNNNNNNNNNNNNNNNNNNNNNNNNNNNNNNNNNNNNNNNNNNNNNNNNNNNNNNNNNNNNNNNNNNNNNNNNNNNNNNNNNNNNNNNNNNNNNNNNNNNNNNNNNNNNNNNNNNNNNNNNNNNNNNNNNNNNNNNNNNNNNNNNNNNNNNNNNNNNNNNNNNNNNNNNNNNNNNNNNNNNNNNNNNNNNNNNNNNNNNNNNNNNNNNNNNNNNNNNNNNNNNNNNNNNNNNNNNNNNNNNNNNNNNNNNNNNNNNNNNNNNNNNNNNNNNNNNNNNNNNNNNNNNNNNNNNNNNNNNNNNNNNNNNNNNNNNNNNNNNNNNNNNNNNNNNNNNNNNNNNNNNNNNNNNNNNNNNNNNNNNNNNNNNNNNNNNNNNNNNNNNNNNNNNNNNNNNNNNNNNNNNNNNNNNNNNNNNNNNNNNNNNNNNNNNNNNNNNNNNNNNNNNNNNNNNNNNNNNNNNNNNNNNNNNNNNNNNNNNNNNNNNNNNNNNNNNNNNNNNNNNNNNNNNNNNNNNNNNNNNNNNNNNNNNNNNNNNNNNNNNNNNNNNNNNNNNNNNNNNNNNNNNNNNNNNNNNNNNNNNNNNNNNNNNNNNNNNNNNNNNNNNNNNNNNNNNNNNNNNNNNNNNNNNNNNNNNNNNNNNNNNNNNNNNNNNNNNNNNNNNNNNNNNNNNNNNNNNNNNNNNNNNNNNNNNNNNNNNNNNNNNNNNNNNNNNNNNNNNNNNNNNNNNNNNNNNNNNNNNNNNNNNNNNNNNNNNNNNNNNNNNNNNNNNNNNNNNNNNNNNNNNNNNNNNNNNNNNNNNNNNNNNNNNNNNNNNNNNNNNNNNNNNNNNNNNNNNNNNNNNNNNNNNNNNNNNNNNNNNNNNNNNNNNNNNNNNNNNNNNNNNNNNNNNNNNNNNNNNNNNNNNNNNNNNNNNNNNNNNNNNNNNNNCAUUUUCAUUUUAAUUUGAAGUUAAAACGGAACGAUCAACGGGCAGAUUCAAGAGAAAUUCUGCAUGAAAACUGGAAAAAAUGGUGGUUGAGAUUCGGCCAUGGAUGCAUUUGCAUUAGCAUGCAGAUGUUAUAAAAUGAUCAUUGCUAGCUGAAUUUAGUACCUAAAAUUAACAAGUAUUGCUCCCUGGAGCUACAGUUAAAUAAUAAUCACAUCAGGAAUUGAAGAGAAAUUAUCAUAACUUAGAUGAAGGCACUGCAGAGGGGAUGGCAAUCUUCCUUAGCUCCUUUCUCAAUAUUUUGCCCGCUGGAUUCUUUGGUAUGGAAUCAAUGAAUGCUACACGCCUUAUUUUCUUGUAUGGUGCAACCUGAAAAACACCAUAGAUGAAAUUACCAAGAUCGUAGAUUGAAAUUACCAAAUGCACGCAGCCUAAAAAGAUUAUAGUAACCAUGCCACAUUGUUCCACGAAAGCACCUGUUUUGCAACAAAAUCCAUAAUUUCUGCUUCACUGAGGCUGCUUUGUGGCUGCCUUGAUACAAAUGCCAUUGGAAUCUCGCCAGCUUCUUCAUCUGGGUAUCUACCAAAGCCAAAUCACCAGCUGCUUUAGUUUUAUAUUAAAAAAUUUUCAAGGGAAAAAGGUGAUGACUCUGGAAGCUAUGGAAAUUACGGUAUCACUGCAGCAUCAGAUAUCUGAGGGUGGGACUGAAGCAAUUGUUCCAGUUCUACAGGAGCGACCUGCACAAGAAAAUCCAUCAAUACAUCGAUCAUCAGCUGCUGCUGAUCUUGAGAUAUUACCUGAUAACCCUUGUAUUUAAUCAGUUCCUUAAGCCUGUCCACCACAAACAUAAAGCCCUCUUCAUCAAUAUAACAGAGAUCUCCGGUUCUUAACCACCCAUCUGAUACCAAAGUUGCUGAAGUUGCUUCAGGGUCAGCAGCAUAUCCUGCAAGUUCAAUUUGUCUUGAAAAUCAGCAAAAAUUAUCUAAAGCAACAAUAUUAAUAGAAUGAUUGAUAUUUCAUUUUUUUGACCUUUCAUUAUACAGGGUCCUUUGAGCCAAAGCUCCCCUUGUUUGCAUGGAGGCAAGGCUUCACAGUUUUAAGGUUCUACAAUUUUUGCUUCACAAUAAGCUGCCAGUUCCCCCACUGAGCCCCACCGCUGACUGCCUCUCGACCAACAAAUCCAAAACUCCCCUCCCGAUUCAGUCAAUCAUAACCCUUAUAUAGGAAAUGCAGAAUAAGUGAAGUCAAGCCUUCGCAAUAUCGCAACUGAGUUGCAUCAUCGUCCAAUUAACUACAAAGAUAGAAUGUGGAACUAAGGCUACAUGGCAGUAAGAGUAUAAUUGAGCCGAGUCAAUGCAAUGAAAAGCUCGAGUUCAAGCUUGAGUUUGAAGCUCGUCACUUGAAAUUCAACUUGGAUUUAAUUGAGUUUUAAAUUUCAAUUAUGAGUUCGAUCUGAGAAAACAAUUGAGUUAUUUGUUCAAUUACUUUUGUUUAAAUUUAAAAAUAAGUUCAAUUCUCAGACUCGAUUUCAAACUUGAUUAUAUAUCUAAACUCGAGUUUAUAUUCGAAUUAAUAUAAUAGUAAAAUAAUAAAAACAUAUUAAAAUUUAAAAAUAAAUUAAGCUCCUGAACUCAAAGAUUUAAAUAGAGGUAAGAUAACGGUAAUAACGGCCGUUAUUUCACGGUCAUAGCCACCAUUUGCUACCGUUAUUAAAGAAAAAACAUGAAAAAAUUUGAAUCUCAUUUGUGAUUGCGAAUUGUGGCGCAACGUUGAAUAGUGGCAAUAACAAUCCGCUAUUGCCCGCUCUUUCGUUUUUCAUUCAAAAAUUCAAAAAAAAAAAAUUUCAUUUGAUUCUAUUUAAAAAAACUUAAAAUAAAAAAAACAAGAAAAAAAUAAACAUCAAUUUACAAAUUCAAAAAAAAAAAAACCUACAAAACUAAACUUCAAAAAUAUCAAUUCUCUUAAAUUCAACUUCAAUCAAAAUUAAGUAUAUGUAAUUUAAGGAAAGUAAUUAAUUCAACACUUAAAUUACGUUUUUUUCUUAAUUUCCAAAAUUACCGUGAUUUUAUGUGUUUGGGAUUGGAUUGAGCUAUGAUACAUCGAUAAAAGGGAGCAGGAGUUACUUAGACUUAAAAUGAAAGACAACAGAUGAAAGUGAGACUUGAGAUUGAUGGAGACGAGCAGAUAGCACACACUAGAAAAAAAAAAAGUGAGAGAUGAAGAUGAAGAUGAAGUUUUGGAGAACAAAUUAUUGAAUGCGAGGUGAGGAAUGAGAAGUUUUGUGAGUUAGUGCAAUUUAAUCAAGAGAUAGAGAAAGUAAACUUGAUGUUAUUAUUGUUGAAAAUUGCUCACAACAUGGAGGCUAUCAAGUUUGAUUUAUUGUAAGUCCAUAAAAAACAAUUAUCUUGACCCAUAAAUAGUAAUGCUCUUAAUUUAUGGAUAUCUAAUCACUUACUAUUUGAUUUAUGCAUAAUAUAGUUUGAUAAUAAUUUGAUGAGUAUGGUAAUUAAAUAAUUAAAUAUAUCAUUAGUUAUAAUUAUUUAUUUUUCACAUGUUUAUUUAUCUUUUAUUAUUUUUUAAUUAUCAUAUAAAUAAUUUUUUAAAUAUAAAUAUUUUAUUAUAAAUAUUUUUUUUACAUAAAUAAACCAUAUGAUAUAAUAUAAAUUACUUUAAAAAUCAUAAAAUAUAUGAUUAAUAAUUAAAAUUAUUAUAUUUUAUAGUAAAUUAAGUAAAAUUUAAAAAAAUUCAUGACUGUGAUAACCAUAAUAACCAUAAAAAUCUUUGUUAUAUUUGCAACUAUAACAAAUAAAAUAUAAUCGAAAAUAUGACCGCUAUUGCAAUUUAAAUCUCUACCCGAACAAUUCAAAAUAGAUGUUUAAAGUCAACUCGCUUGACUCGACUUUGACUAGACUCAGAAUAUAAUCAAACCAAAAUUAAUUUUUAUUUAAAUCAAAUCAAAGUAAUUUACGAGUAACGAUGUAUCCCUACAUAGCAUGCAAAAGUUAAAAAUGUAAAUACAAUGGCAACAGAUUUGGCGUAUGCUCCCACAUCCACUGACUCUACUAAACAAGCAUAUUAACAAAGAUUUAUACUAACGAUGAUUUUUUUUCUCCCGUACCUGAGUAAGAAGGACGUUUGGAAACUUCUCUGUAAACGCGGCGAUCACAUCUUCACCAAGCGGAGCACCACCACAACCGACCCAUUCCAACGAACUCAUAUCAAAACCCUCCGUCACCCCGCCCUUAAGCAUUGCCACCACCACUGGCGGAGCCGUCGCCAACCGCUGCACCCUAAAAUACUCCACCGCCUUCACCGUUUUCUCAAUAUCGAAACGACCCAUCACUACCAACGUUUCACUUAAUGCAACAGAUUUUAUAAAAUAAAAAAACCCAAACACAUGAAAAAGCGGCAUGGUAUGAAGCACAACCGACGCUGCUUUAUUUACUUCUUUAACAGAGUAAUAGCCGGUAAUUACUGAGAUUAAAUUCCGGUGAGUCAACAUUACUGCUUUGACUUUUCCUGUUGUUCCUGAAGAGUACAUGAUGGCAGCUAAGUUGGAUUGAUUCACUUCAACUCGGUCGAUAUCCUGAUCAUUAAACCUUGGUUUCUUUUGCAUGGCUGAGUUAAACUCGGGGGAGUCAAUGAGAAUUAUCCCAUAACGAAGCUUGGGGAGCUUGUGGAUAGUUGAGCUCAAUGCAAAAGCGAUCACUGGAUUUGAUAACUCGAUUUGUCUGGAGAUUUCUGACACAGUAUUGAGUGGGUUGGCGGGUGAAACUAUGACCCCGAUGGAAAGCAGAGCUAAGUAAAGAAUGUGAACUUGAACUGAGUUUGUCGAGAGAACAAAAGCUGUGUCUCCUUUGGAUAGUUUGAUAACAGUUUUGAGAUAAAAAGCAAGUGAGUUUAUCAUGUGAAUUAACUCGGGGUAGGUGAUUUUUUGGCCGGUAGCUGAGUCGAUGAGAGCAACCGAGUCAGGCCAAGGAGAGGUGGCUUGGAGAGAGAGAGAAUGGGCAGUCACCGUCGAAGGAAGUUGUUCAGGAGGAAGUUUUAAUGGGCUGGCCUUAAGCUGUGGAAAGUUUUUUGUCUUUGAAAUUGAAGCCAUUUUGGGGGUUGCAUUGUUGGGUGUUUUUGAUCCAUUUUUUGAAAGCUCAGAUUUCUUGUCUGAAGAAUUCUGCUUCAAGUUUUAUGAGUUUGGUUUUCAGCUUGGAAAUCAUUCGAUUGACAGAUAUGACAACACAAUGAUCUUUCAAAUCUUCAUUAAGAUGCUACCCUGCCUACGAACAAUAAUUCAUCUAAAAUUCAACGCAUUUGGUACAGGCUAAAUGAAAAUGACAAUUUUGGAAUUUAGAUAUCGUCCAGCUGGAUUUUGUGUAAAAAAGAGGGCCCAAACUUUGAUCCAGUCAUGGAUCAAGGAUUCAAGGUUUCAGAUUUUGUAAUUUCUGAGCCUGUUUGGCCUAAAUCAUUAUUGGGUUUCAUACUUUCCCUCGAGCCUAAAUAUAUAUAUUUUUUGGAUAAAUUCUUUUGUUGUACGCUCAUUUCAACGCGAUACAUUAUAUAAAUAGAACAAAAAUAAUAUAAUUUAAAAUUUUAAUAAUAAUUAUAUAUAAUAUAUAAUAUAAAUUAUAUUAUAUAAUUUUUAUAUAAUAUAAUAUAAUAUAAAUAUAUAAAAUUUAUUUUUUAUUCAACAUAAUUACACAAAUUACCAAAUCUAUUCAGACUUCCAGCAGCACACUUUUUGUCAAUUGCCACUUCCCUUCUCAUCUAGGGUUGAUAUCGGAUCGAGUUUGAGACGGAUUUUAUUUAUUUCGAAUUUGAUUUAAUUUUAUCUGUUAUUAAAUUUUUAUUUAAUUUUAUUUAAAAUUUUUUUAUUUUUUUAUAUUCGAAUCCGAUAUUAUAUAAAUUAUACUCGAUUCGAUUCGAAAUUAAUAAAAUAUUAUUUUUUUAAAAUAUAAAAUAUUAUUUUAAAUAUAAAUAUUUAAAAAUAUCAUUAUAUAAAUAUAUAUAAAUAAAAAAUUAAAUAAUUAAUUAAAAAAUAAAUUUUUAUAUAAUAUAGAAUCCAAUCAAGUUAAGUUUACUUAAAACUUGAAUUCACCGAUAUCCGACUCAAAAUCUUAAUUUCAAAAAAAAAAAAAUCGACCUGGAUCAGGUCGAGUCGAACUCAUCAAAAUCGAAUCGAAUUGCCGUCCCUAUUCCCACCCACUCUCAAGUCAUGUCUCAUCCCACACCAAUACAAUUUUCCAAGAAAAAGUUCCAUGAAAUGAUUAGAAGUGGGCAGUAAAGAACAUUUCAAUCUAUUCGAUUUUAAAAAUCUAAAAAUUAAAUUAAAUAAUUUUAUUUUAAAUAAUGGUUCGAAUCCAAUAAAAUUAAAAUAAUUAAAACCCAAUUAAGUUGAUCGAUUUAAUAUAUUUAUUUAAUUUUAAUUAUUAAAAAAAAUACAUAAUUUAUAUUAUUACAUAAAAAUUAUAUUAUAUUUAUCAUAUAUUAUAUACAUUUACAUUAUAUAAAAUAAAUGGUAUAUUAAUAUGUUUUGGACAUCAUUGAGUAUAAUAAACAAAAAAAAAAAAAAGGUGCCAAUUGCCAACUUUAGAAACAUGGUCUACUUGAAAAAAAUCAAGAAUUGAAGAUCAAAUGCCAUAUAGUUUCUCCAUAGUUUGAGUUUGAUCACCGUCUUCUGGUCCACACACCAAAGAUUUUUGUUUCUCUCCAAUCUUAAUCCGAUCCAAUUAUUCCUCGGACCCCACUCGUCUCUUAUCCCUUCCCUUCCUUCCCCCAAGCCAAAACUAAUAUCUUAAAGAAGUCCUCGUCUUUUUGACUCUCAAGUUCCUUCAGGCGACUUCAUCAAUGGGUGUCGCUUGUUUGCAUAACAAAUUCAAUUUUGUUACUUUACCUCAUCUUUCACUUCCAUUCUCCAAGAACCCUAACCCCAGAAUCUUUCCUAGAAAAAAGAACAAUCUUUUUCUGGCUUCGGCUUCUGAUACCCAUGUGGCUGAUUCAGGAAAGAAACUUAGCAGCAAGAAAGAUGAUGAAUUCGGGGACUUGAAAUGUUGGAUGCACAAAAACGGCUUGCCUUCUUGUAAAGUUGUGCUGAAAGAGAGGCCUUCGCAUGAUGAGAAACAUAGGCCUAUACAUUAUAUCGCUGCCAGUGAGGAUCUUCAGGUAAAUAAAAUGGCUUAAAGUUUUGGUUUUGGUUUUGUCUGGUUUUUUAAUGGGAUUUCGUAAUAUUCGCGUUUUCUAUUCUGGGGUUGUGUUAAAGUUGCGCUUUUUUCUUCUUUUUUGAUUCUGUGUUCUUGGUUUUCUAGGCGGGUGAUGUGGCCUUUUCGGUGCCGAAUUCAUUGGUUGUAACGCUUGAGAGAGUGCUGGGAAACGAGACUGUUGGUAAGGUGCACUAUAUAAUGUGUGGAAGAUUUUAUAUAGCAAUGGAUGUUCUUUUCAAUAGUGGAAACUUGAUUCAUAUGGGAUUUUUGUCUGAAGAUGAUAUACAUUGGUAAUUUUUCUCUCAAUUUGUAAAGGUGAUUAUGAACUUGGAUGGUAGUUUAGACCGUUGCUACAACUGUUUCCUUGUACUUUUCCCUAGUCUGCCAUGUAUAUUUCUCACUUGCAAAACUAGAAAUUGUAGAGUUCCGUUUGUCCAGCUACACUGUUUAUAGCAUUGUGGUAUAUGAUGAGUGAUUAAAGGACAAGAUAAGCAAUGUAGAGUGGGAUUACAUUUCUUUGCAGUACUUAUGGAGCAUCUAUACCUGUAUGUUUGUAUCUAAUGAUAGGAUUUAAAUUGAGUGGAAAAAGGGGGAAAAAGAAGCUGCUGUCAGAUUUCAUUUUUUAACUUGAUUUGGUUGUGUAAUUAUGUUACUUGCCUGGUCUUUUAUACAGCGGAACUUUUGACAACAAACAAGUUGUCUGAAUUGGCAUGCUUAGCUUUGUACUUAAUGUAUGAGAAGAAGCAAGGAAAGGAAUCAUUCUGGUAUCCAUAUAUUAGAGAGCUUGAUCGACAACGAGGAAGGGGCCAGCUGGCUGUGGAAUCUCCACUUUUAUGGUCAAAAGAUGAAUUGGCUUACCUAACAGGUAGCCCAACUAAGGUAGCAAUAGCAACACAAGUGUCUGUUUAUCCCCUUUCCCUUUUUUAUUCCUGAUUUACUGUUUUGUAGUUCAUUGAGUUUCAUAACUGAAUUCUGUUGUUCAAAAGUUAGGCUGAAGUUCUUGAAAGGGCUGAAGGAAUAAAAAGAGAGUAUAAUGAGCUUGAUACUGUCUGGUUUAUGGCUGGGUCUCUCUUUCAGGUAUUGUCUUUCAUAUUUAUAUAUUUUUUAUUUUCCUUUCUGAAGCUUAGAGUGUGAUCAUAAAUGUUUCGUAUUUCUUUGCAAUGCAGCAAUAUCCCUAUGAUAUACCUACUGAGGUCUUUCCAUUUGAGAUUUUCAAACAAGCUUUUGUUGCUGUUCAGUCUUGUGUGGUGCAUUUACAGGUUUUCUCUUUACCUGUUGAUAACCUUUUCCAGUUUUCCCUAUCAAGCUUUGAGGACUCGAGUGACAUUCUAGAUGGCGAUAUUCUUUAUGUCUUUUGUUUUAUAAAAUUUAGAAAACUUGUUUGGCUAUAAACCUUCCAGAUAGCAUUGCAUAUACUAAAACUCUCUCAUCUUUUUCUCCUUUCCUGAAAUUUUUGAAACAUUAUGUUUGAAUGACAAACUGAAACUUGAUUUUACUCAGAAAGUACCUUUGGCUCGAAGAUUUGCAUUGGUUCCUCUUGGGCCCCCAUUGCUAGCCUACAGUAGCAAUUGCAAGGCAAUGUUAAGUGCCAUUGGUGGUUCUGUUGAACUAGUGGUUGAUCGCCCAUAUAAGGCUGGGGAACCCAUUGUUGUCUGGUAUAAAUAUAAUGCCUUAUUUAUUGUCUGUAAUGUUGAUUUAUCUUUCAGUCUUGCUUUAGAAUCGAAACCUUUGCCUUCUAAUUAUUGCUGCAUUUGUAUCUCUAAGCACAAAAUUUGAAAAUGGUAAAUUUCUUGUGUUUUUAGGUGUGGACCACAGCCUAAUUCGAAACUGCUUAUAAACUAUGGUUUUGUUGAUAAUGAUAGUUCUUAUGAUCGCCUGGUUGUUGAGGUAAAAUCUUGAUUUUCCAACUUGUAUAUGCAAUUUCAUGGUUUUCUUUGUAAAUCAAGUUUACGCGCCUUAGUGAAUGAAUGGACAUCUAUACUUCCUUGCUUAAAUAUCUUAUAUGUGUUGAAAAAAAGGUUUAUUAAAGUGAUGGGAUAUGGUAUGACUUAUAAGUUGGUGGUAUCAAUGAGAUUGAGAUUUUGUGUUUUUCUUAGUCAACCAUGUUGAUAGCUUUAUUUACUGUUUGUUCAGGCAGCUUUGAAUACUGAGGAUCCUCAAUAUCAGGAUAAGAGACUGGUUGUUCAAAGAAAUGGAAAGCUAUCAGUACAAGUUUUUCAUGUAUGAACUCAAACCUUGUAUUAAUUGGAUUAUAUUGUAAGAUAUUCCCUUCUGAUCCUUACUUUGUAUCUGCUGCAGGUUUAUGCAGGGAAGGAAAAAGAAGCUGUUUCGGAUAUGCUACCAUAUUUGCGAUUGGGAUAUGUUUCAGAACCCUCUGAAAUGCAAUCUGUUCUUUCUUCUCAAGGUCCAGUCUGCCCGGUGAGUUCAUUUAUUGCAAAUUGUUACUUGCUUAAUUUUAAUUGCAAUAUAAAAUUUAUGAGAGUUAUACUCUAAUUGAAAUCCCAACUAAUUCAGUAAGAUGACCAAACUAAUGUGAUUCAGGUAGGUCAUGUUUUUCAGAAAAAGUUUUCAACGGUGGCCCUUUCUUCUUUUGUAAAGAAUGAUUCUAGCUUCGUCUGUGAUAGGCAAUUAAAAUUCGAAAAUCAUUUUAGUUAAACAGAGUGGAACUCUUUCUUUUUUUCUAAAAUUCUGGUGGAAUAUACUUGCCCUAAUAGGUGAGCCCAUGUAUGGAACGAGCAGUGCUAGACCAGCUUGCUUAUUAUUUCAAUAGACGCCUGGCUAUCUACCCUACGACACUGAAUGAAGAUGAGUCAUUGGUAAUGUCGGUUCUCUUGACCAAGUUGACAACUAGAUCUGAACUUAUGGACUGUGAGUUUUAAUAAACAUAUUUUUGUUACAUUAGUUGUCAGAUCCAAACUUGAAUCCCAGGAGACGAGUUGCCACUCAGCUUGUUAGGUUGGAAAAGAAAAUUCUCCAUGCAUGUUUGCAGGCAACAAAUGAUCUGAUAGACCAAUUACCUGAUCACACUGUGUCUCCUUGCCCUGCACCUUAUGCCCCCUUGUUGAAAUGAAAGGUAUCUUCUCUCACCUUCUGUCCCUGCUCUUCUGUCUUCCGUUUGCACUGUUAACUCUAUAUUGUUACUCAUGUUUGUGUUAAUGUGGAUGAACUUUCUUCAGAAUUAACUGUCUCAGUUGUAACUUGGCACCAGCCUAGUGACUAAGAAUUGAUUCUACCAGCUUCCUCUGUCCCCAUAUGGCCAAUGACCAUUCAUGAUUCUACCAGCCUUUAGAAACCCUUAGUGACUAAGAAUUGAUUCUACUUAACCAGAAAUAAUUUUUAGAAAGCGGGGAUGCUUUGAGAAGUUUUAGACUCUUGGAAUGUACUAAAAAAAGUAUAGAACCAUCUUGGUGCUAGAGAAACAAGGAAAGUCACUUAAUAAUGGCCGUUGUCCAAAUUCUUUAUUACCAUUGCUCAUACUUUUUCGUCGACUUUCUGACAUCAUGUUCUAAAUGGUGCUUUUUUCCUUCUUUUUCUUGGGAUGUUUUGCAGGUAGAUUUAAGAAUUGGCAACUCUUUAGGAACAAUAUGGAAUAUGGGAAGUUUGUUGCUGGAUCUAAUAGGGUUUUAAGAGAGAGAGAAUCAUGGUUGCUCUUUUCCAAGUUAUUGGAUGCCAUGAUGUGCCUUUAGCGAUUGGUUCUUCAACAUACAUUAACACAUGUUCUUCUUCUUCUUCUUCUUCCUUCUCGCAUACCUUCUUUCUCUCUUAUUUUCUCCACGUGUCUAGCUGUAGUCUUGUAAAGAAGAGAAAGAAUAUCAGAAUUUUUACCUACCGAGUGCAUAGAUAAUUUUGGCUGCUAAUGAAUUUUGG
RNAcentral lists this long non-coding RNA (49318 nucleotides) under Durio zibethinus. Its description in RNAcentral is "long non-coding RNA (DZIB_LNC001077)". The record is from RNAcentral. Lineage: Eukaryota; Viridiplantae; Streptophyta; Magnoliopsida; Malvales; Malvaceae.